UUUAAAUUGUCCCUUACAUGUUAUUGUUUAGUAUAAAUACCAACUCAAUUCUCACACCUUUACAUCAUCAAUCACUUCUAAUUCUUUUCCAUCCAAUAAAAGACCGCACUUUAUUUUAUUCAAUAACAUUUUGGAAAAAAAAUGAAAUCCUCCUCCGCCAUCCUCCUCCUCCUCCUGGCUUUUUUUCUCUCUGCCACCGCCCAUUCAGCUGAAGCACCUACAAGUUCACCACUUUUAUCGAAUAUUUGUGAGUCUGCCGAGGAUGAUGAUAAAGCAUAUUGUCGUCAUUUCAUGAAUGAUAACCCAGAAUGCUCAGACAUAAAAUGUCUUAUGCAAAAAUCCAUCAGUGAUGCUGACAACGCAGCUUCCCUCUGCCUCGUAAUAGGUUCAGAAACUUUAAAGACAACGAAAUACAUUCGAGCAACCAAAAAAUGCAUCAGACAUUUCGAGUCCGUUGAAGAAAUCAUCAAAGGUGCAGAUACAUUGGUUAAAGAUGAAAAGUAUGAUUUGAUCGCAGAAAAGUAUGAAUUGAUCUACCAUCAUACAGAGAAAUGUGUUGUAGCCUACGGUGCUGGUACAAAUCCUUUCAACUUGGGGAUGAGGAAGGUCCUUAAAUCUUUGGACGUAGGAACUGUCAUCAUGGAAUAUAAAAAAACUCACUAAAUUGAAGAUGGAGAUCCAAACGAGAUCAUUGAUUAUCUCAAUUAUAUUAUGCUAAUUAUGAGGGAGCGGCUCUUGAUUAUAUAUUCAGCUCAUUGUGAAUUUUUUGUGUGAAUUGAAGUGUCUAAAUUUUACAAAAACAAAUUCUAUUUUCUUUUUUAUGAUAUGAAUUGAAAAAUUUAUUAUCUGUCCUUGUCAAUUAAGAAAACGCUUCAAUUUCACCAUUUUCAUCUGGACCAGAGCAGGUCAUUACAAAAAAUAAAACAUUGUGUGACUGAGUUUUGAUGAUGAAAAUCUGUCAUUACAAGUGAUCAGUGACGGAUUUUCGUCAUCAAAAGACCAUCAUGACGAUGACCGUCAGGAAAUCACCAUAUCCGUCAUUGAUAAUCUGUCAUCUAUUAUUUCAUCUCAUUUCCCACCAAAAAAUAAUACAUGGCGGAAAUCCGCCACUAAAUCUGAAAUUUUUCGCGGGAACUAUUAGAUUAGAUAACAGUAUUAGUUAAAGCAACAACUAUAGGUUGUUAGAAUAAUAGUUACAAGUAUAGACUAUAAAUAUGUAAUCAAACCAUUAAUAUAAUCAAUACAAUUUGGUUAUCAUUUACACCAUCUUAUAUGGUAUCAGUUUUUCGGGUUUAGAAUCAAGGAUGACGUUUUCCGCUGCAGAUUCGGGCGCAAAUGCUCCAUCAUCAAGGAUAGUGAUGAAGUCAAUGAAAUGCGUCCAACUGGAUAAGAGUAAUUACUACUCAUGGGAGGCACAAUUUUCGGCCAUGCUUAGGGGGUUUCAACUCUUCGAUUACGUUCUUGGGAAGGUUGAACUUUCGUCGCCAUCAUCGAUCUAGCAAGAUCAAUUGAUUUUGAGCUGGAUCUUGACCGGGAUCUCAACGACCAUUCUUCCACAAGUGGCAUCUCGGAAGACAUCGGCGGAGAUUUGGGAUGCAUUACGCAAACUCUACUCAUCGGGAACACAAGCAAGACAACUUUAUAUUCGCCUUCAACUCCAAUCGAUUCGAAAGGGAGGAUUAAAUAUUGAAGAGUACCUGUCAAAGAUUUCUAUUUUAAAAGAUGCUCUCGCAUCAACAGGAGAGGGACUUAAAGAAUCAGAAAUUGUGCUAAUCACCUUGGGAGGAUUGGGGGANNNNNNNNNNNNNNNNNNNNNNNNNNNNNNNNNNNNNNNNNNNNNNNNNNNNNNNNNNNNNNNNNNNNNNNNNNNNNNNNNNNNNNNNNNNNNNNNNNNNAAAAGGGGACACACGACGCCGGAUUGCUAUAAUCGUUUAAACCUAGAACGAUUUCCGCCGGCGCAUGGGAGGGCAAUUUCGUCUUCUGGAAUAACUGGAAAUUUUAACAAUACACCCUCCUCAUUUGGAACAAAUGGGAAUUUUCAUAAUACACCUUCAAGUCACAAUACAAAUGGGAAUUUUAGAAACACACCCUCGGCUAAUCUAAUUUAUGCAGAAGGUCCAACAAUAAUGUGGUACCCCGAUUCAGGGGCGACAUCACACGUUACAGCCGCACCUGAAAAUAUCCAAUACCCCAGAGUGUAUAAUGGUAAAAAUUUUACGACGGAUGGGAGUCCAUUGUCAAUUUCUUACUCUGGUCAAAGCAGAGCUAUUAUAGAUUCUAAUAAUUUCAUUCUUAAUGAUUUACUACUAGCCUUCGUUCUAAUAUAGUACCGGUAGCCUUCAGACGAAACUACAGGUGCUGGUCCCCAGAUAUCUGCAUAUAUGAUCUCAAGAGGAUAAUUGUAUGUAGAAUUUGUUGCUUUAUGAUUUAUUAAAUGGCUUUUAGCUAUGAUACAUGAUUCACAAUCAGAGAAUUUUUGAGUAGACAUGACAAUAUGAUUUUUAUUAACCAACUCUUUAACUGCUCUGAAGUGUAAGUGUCCUAGCCGUGAGUGCCAUUGAUCUCCUGUAACCGCCGAGAGUGCUUCUUCAUUUUUCCCGAUUUUUAGUGGUAGUUGAUAUAAUCCAUUUUUCUCCCGACCUUCAGCCAGCACCUUUUUAGUGUCGAGAUCCCGAACUUUGACACUCUGUUUGUCAAAUUUAAUACAAACUCUGUUGUCAGCACAUAAUCGUUGCACAGAUAAUAAAUUUCUCGAACUAUCUGGUACUAGUAGCAUAUCAUUCAAACAUAAAUUGAUAUUGUUAAUUUUAGCUUUGAAUUUCCCCAAUUGAGUAAUAGGCAUACUAUCCCCAUUAGCCACGAAAACAGAAGAAAUACCUUGAUAAGGUUGUGCAUCCUGGAUUAGCGUACCUGACUCAGUUAUAUGUGUCGUUGCUCCUGAGUCGGGGUACCACAUUGACAUGGCACUACGAUUCACGGCCAAGUUUGCCUCAGGUUAGGGUUGAGUUGCAGAAGAAAUUCCUACUGGAAUUAAAGUUCGUCCAUGUUUUGGGGGAAAACGUGCAAAAUUCACUCUAUUGUAACAAUUAAGAGCACCAUGCCCCUUUUUAUUGCAGAUUUGGCAGGGAUGCGUUCGCGCGGAAGAGGAGAAAUCGGAAUCGCGCGAUUUUGUAGAGGCAGAGGAGUCGGAUGCGGCUCUGGAUUUUGCCGCGACGUUCGCCUCCAGGGUUCUUGAUUCCGACGACUGCUGAAAACGUAAAUCAUGUUCGAUUAGGAGCUGCUGGAAUCCGGCGAACAACAUGCUAUGGUCAAAUCUGGUGGUGAUUGAUGUUACGAACGCUUGAAAAUCGACGCCGAGUCCUCCUAGCGCAAGAAGAAUUAGUUGCGAUUCCUUCAUUCCUUCACCACAAUCCGAGAGUUUGUCUUUGAGUAUACAGAUUUUUCGCAAGUAUUCUUUUACCGAAAGGUCAUUCUUCUUGAUACUUUGCAGUUGAGACCGCAAGUGAAGGAUCCGUGUCUCGGAGUCCGAUGAAUGCAAUUGACGCAAGCAUUCCCAGACCGUAGCAGAUGUGGUGAGCGCAGCCACUUGGGGGAGAAUCGUCGGCGAGAUCGUCGACAAUAGCCAGCUAAGGAUGAGCUGGUCCUGCUGCUCCGCUAGAGGAUCAUCAGUCACAUUAAUCCUCCCUUCCACAUAUUCCAGCAGCUUAUACCCUCGGAGUAAUGCCGAGAAUUGAGCCUUCCAAGAGAAGUAGUUUUCCCCAUCAAGAGUAACACAUUUCAUAUAUUUCAUCAUGAUGACUUUUGUCGAUGAAGCAGGAGACGAGUUCUUACCGGCAUCUUGAGUCCCUGCAGCGAAAGAAGGAUUGGCAGAGCCGAAGCUGUUGGUUGGUGAUGAUACCAUAUUGAAACAGGGAAUGAGAGAUUCAAUGAAUGGAGCUAAGAUGAUGAAGAUGGCAAGAAUCGAAUGAGUAUUAUUGAUGGAGUGGUGGUGUUUAUAUACAAGUAUUAAACCUAUAACAAUUUCAAUUAGUUAAGAAGUUUCUAGAUUUAGUUAGUUACAAUAUGAAGUAAAUUUGUUUUGAACAUAAAAAUUGUAAACGAAGAAGGUCACUGGUAUAAAUGGUAUUAUUACUACAUUUCUGUUUUCUUUUGUUUUACAUAGGAUGUCGUCAACUAAAACUUGAUUCGUUAAGCUCGAGCUCGCGAGCCUAAAGCUCAAUAAGCUUGAUAAACUUAUCGAGCCGAGCUAGGACUUUUCAAGCUCGGCUCGAUAAACUCAUUAAAAGCUUUUUAAUAAUUAAAUAAAAUAUAUAUAUUAAGAGAUGGUAUUAAUUGAUAAAGAUUAUUGAAUAAAUUGCAAAAAAAAUUAAAUAAAAUCUAAAUCUAAAAAAAACUAAAUAUAGAUAUUUUUCUUAAAAUAUUUACAUUUUUUUUUUAAUUUGCAGAAUUGUGAGUUAAAUUUCAAGUUCGAGCUCGCAUUUGAACUCACGAGUUUCGAACCCGAGCCUGAACAAUUUCUUAACGAGUUGAGUCUGAGUCCGAGCUUGAACAAUUUCUUAAUGAGUCGAGUCCGAGCUCGGCCAAACCAGGCUCGACGAGUUACGAGGCGAGCCUGAGUCCGAAUCUAUAAAUAAAAGCUCGGUUCGUUUGACACCCUAGUUUACAUUAACAACACCUUAUCUAGAAUAAGUUAAACAUUAUGAAUCAUUCCUACAUUCACUCAAUACUUGUUAUAAAAAGCUUAAAAAACACAACAACAAAAAAUAUCACAACUAAGAAUUAAACUAAAUUUUGCAUGACUUUGAAUUUAACUGUUUUUUCCAUUACAAUUUUAAACAUGAAACCAAUGGCUUUAAAUUGUCCCUUACAUGUUAUUGUUUAGUAUAAAUACCAACUCAAUUCUCACACCUUUACAUCAUCAAUCACUUCUAAUUCUUUUCCAUCCAAUAAAAGACCGCACUUUAUUUUAUUCAAUAACAUUUUGGAAAAAAAAUGAAAUCCUCCUCCGCCAUCCUCCUCCUCCUCCUGGCUUUUUUUCUCUCUGCCACCGCCCAUUCAGCUGAAGCACCUACAAGUUCACCACUUUUAUCGAAUAUUUGUGAGUCUGCCGAGGAUGAUGAUAAAGCAUAUUGUCGUCAUUUCAUGAAUGAUAACCCAGAAUGCUCAGACAUAAAAUGUCUUAUGCAAAAAUCCAUCAGUGAUGCUGACAACGCAGCUUCCCUCUGCCUCGUAAUAGGUUCAGAAACUUUAAAGACAACGAAAUACAUUCGAGCAACCAAAAAAUGCAUCAGACAUUUCGAGUCCGUUGAAGAAAUCAUCAAAGGUGCAGAUACAUUGGUUAAAGAUGAAAAGUAUGAUUUGAUCGCAGAAAAGUAUGAAUUGAUCUACCAUCAUACAGAGAAAUGUGUUGUAGCCUACGGUGCUGGUACAAAUCCUUUCAACUUGGGGAUGAGGAAGGUCCUUAAAUCUUUGGACGUAGGAACUGUCAUCAUGGAAUAUAAAAAAACUCACUAAAUUGAAGAUGGAGAUCCAAACGAGAUCAUUGAUUAUCUCAAUUAUAUUAUGCUAAUUAUGAGGGAGCGGCUCUUGAUUAUAUAUUCAGCUCAUUGUGAAUUUUUUGUGUGAAUUGAAGUGUCUAAAUUUUACAAAAACAAAUUCUAUUUUCUUUUUUAUGAUAUGAAUUGAAAAAUUUAUUAUCUGUCCUUGUCAAUUAAGAAAACGCUUCAAUUUCACCAUUUUCAUCUGGACCAGAGCAGGUCAUUACAAAAAAUAAAACAUUGUGUGAUUGAGUUUUGAUGAUGAAAAUCUGUCAUUACAAGUGAUCAGUGACGGAUUUUCGUCAUCAAAAGACCAUCAUGACGAUGACCGUCAGGAAAUCACCAUAUCCGUCAUUGAUAAUCUGUCAUCUAUUAUUUCAUCUCAUUUCCCACCAAAAAAUAAUACAUGGCGGAAAUCCGCCACUAAAUCUGAAAUUUUUCGCGGGAACUAUUAGAUUAGAUAACAGUAUUAGUUAAAGCAACAACUAUAGGUUGUUAGAAUAAUAGUUACAAGUAUAGACUAUAAAUAUGUAAUCAAACCAUUAAUAUAAUCAAUACAAUUUGGUUAUCAUUUACACCAUCUUAUAUGGUAUCAGUUUUUCGGGUUUAGAAUCAAGGAUGACGUUUUCCGCUGCAGAUUCGGGCGCAAAUGCUCCAUCAUCAAGGAUAGUGAUGAAGUCAAUGAAAUGCGUCCAACUGGAUAAGAGUAAUUACUACUCAUGGGAGGCACAAUUUUCGGCCAUGCUUAGGGGGUUUCAACUCUUCGAUUACGUUCUUGGGAAGGUUGAACUUUCGUCGCCAUCAUCGAUCUAGCAAGAUCAAUUGAUUUUGAGCUGGAUCUUGACCGGGAUCUCAACGACCAUUCUUCCACAAGUGGCAUCUCGGAAGACAUCGGCGGAGAUUUGGGAUGCAUUACGCAAACUCUACUCAUCGAGAACACAAGCAAGACAACUUUAUAUUCGCCUUCAACUCCAAUCGAUUCGAAAGGGAGGAUUAAAUAUUGAAGAGUACCUGUCAAAGAUUUCUAUUUUAAAAGAUGCUCUCGCAUCAACAGGAGAGGGACUUAAAGAAUCAGAAAUCGUGCUAAUCACCUUGGGAGGAUUGGGGGACAAAUUUGAAUCUUUUGUAACCGCAAUCACCACACCAUUCAAUCCAGACCUAACGUUCACCGGAGUAUGCGAGAUGUUGAUGGACCACAACCUCCGACUGAAGAAAUUGCGAGUUGCAGCCGUCGCCGGAAAUGCUGCUGCCGUCGUCGCCAAAAUGCCUCAACCGCCGCAGCAAGAACGACGCUACCAGAACACCUACGGCGGUGGACAGAAAUCGCAAAGAGGGGAUCUCCGCUGCCAGAUCUGCUCGAAAAGGGGACACACGGCGCCGGAUUGCUAUAAUCGUUUAAACCUAGAACGAUUUCCGCCGACGCAUGGGAGGGCAAUUUCGUCUUCUGGAAUAACUGGAAAUUUUAACAAUACACCCUCCUCAUUUGGAACAAAUGGGAAUUUUCAUAAUACACCUUCAAGUCACAAUACAAAUGGGAAUUUUAGAAACACACCCUCGGCUAAUCUAAUUUAUGCAGAAGGUCCAACAAUAAUGUGGUACCCCGAUUCAGGGGCGACAUCACACGUUACAGCCGCACCUGAAAAUAUCCAAUACCCCAGAGUGUAUAAUGGUAAAAAUUUUACGUCGAAUGGGAGUCCAUUGUCAAUUUCUUACUCUGGUCAAAGCAGAGCUAUUAUAGAUUUUAAUAAUUUCGUUCUUAAUGAUUUACUACUAGCCUUCGUUCUAAUAUAGUACCGGUAGCCUUCAGACGAAACUACAGGUGCUGGUCCCCAGAUAUCUGCAUAUAUGAUCUCAAGAGGAUAAUUGUAUGUAGAAUUUGUUGCUUUAUGAUUUAUUAAAUGGCUUUUAGCUAUGAUACAUGAUUCACAAUCAGAGAAUUUUUGAGUAGAUGCGAGCCCGAGUCCGAAUUUAUAAAUAAAAGCUCGGUUCGUUUGACACCCUAGUUUACAUUAACAACACCUUAUCUAGAAUAAGUUAAACAUUAUGAAUCAUUCCUACAUUCACUCAAUACUUGUUAUAAAAAGCUUAAAAAACACAACAACAAAAAAUAUCACAACUAAGAAUUAAACUAAAUUUUGCAUGACUUUGAAUUUAACUGUUUUUUCCAUUACAAUUUUAAACAUGAAACCAAUGGCUUUAAAUUGUCCCUUACAUGUUAUUGUUUAGUAUAAAUACCAACUCAAUUCUCACACCUUUACAUCAUCAAUCACUUCUAAUUCUUUUCCAUCCAAUAAAAGACCGCACUUUAUUUUAUUCAAUAACAUUUUGGAAAAAAAAUGAAAUCCUCCUCCGCCAUCCUCCUCCUCCUCCUGGCUUUUUUUCUCUCUGCCACCGCCCAUUCAGCUGAAGCACCUACAAGUUCACCACUUUUAUCGAAUAUUUGUGAGUCUGCCGAGGAUGAUGAUAAAGCAUAUUGUCGUCAUUUCAUGAAUGAUAACCCAGAAUGCUCAGACAUAAAAUGUCUUAUGCAAAAAUCCAUCAGUGAUGCUGACAACGCAGCUUCCCUUUGUCUCGUAAUAGGUUCAGAAACUUUAAAGACAACGAAAUACAUUCGAGCAACCAAAAAAUGCAUCAGACAUUUUGAGUCCAUCGAAGAAAUCAUCAAAGGUGCAGAUACAUUGGUUAAAGAUGAAAAGUAUGAUUUGAUCGCAGAAAAGUAUGAAUUGAUCUACCAUCAUACAGAGAAAUGUGUUGUAGCUUACGGUGCUGGUACAAAUCCUUUCAAUUUGGGGAUGAGGAAGGUCCUUAAAUCUUUGGACGUAGGAACUGUCAUCAUGGAAUAUAAAAAAACUCACUAAAUUGAAGAUGGAGAUCCAAACGAGAUCAUUGAUUAUCUCAAUUAUAUUAUGCUAAUUAUGAGGGAGCGGCUCUUGAUUAUAUAUUCAGCUCAUUGUGAAUUUUUUGUGUGAAUUGAAGUGUCUAAAUUUUACAAAAACAAAUUCUAUUUUCUUUUUUUUGAUAUGAAUUGAAAAAUUUAUUAUCUGUCCUUGUCAAUUAAGAAAACGCUUCAAUUUCACCAUCUUCAUCUGGAGGUCAUUACAAAAAAUAAGACAUUGUAUGACGGAGUUUUGAUGGUGAGAAUCUGCCAUUAUAAGUGAUCAGUGACGGAUUUCCGUCAUCAAAAGACCGUCAGAAAAUCACCAUAUCGUCAUCUAUUAUUCCACCUCAUUUCCCACCAAAAAAUAAUACAUGGUGGAAAUCCGUCACUAAAUCUGAAAUUUUUCACGGGAACUGAAAAUUAUAUGAUGACGGAAAUCCGUCAUGUAUUAUAUGACGCAAAAGAAAUUUGACGUCAAUUUAUCUAUGGCGGUUAAAUACAUUGAUGGUGGAUUUCCGCCAUUCAACUUCAAAACAUACAGUGGCGGAAAUUCGCGAUUAUAAAGCUCAUUAGGGCGGUUGUCUCCAUCUAUCGAUGGCGGAAAUCUGCCACCAAUAACCUUGGAAGGGCGGUUAAAACCCAUCUUUAAAUGACAGAUAUCCGUCAUAGGAAACCCUUAUAGGCGGAAUCACAAACUUGACUUCAAAAUAAACGAAAUGUUUGUCAAGUCCAUGCUGAAAGUUCUGAAUGCUUCAAUCAUCGCCAUAACUGUUGUUCACAUCGACUCCACCUCUUUGUUUACUUUCGAUAAUUUCUUUAUGUUUGUGUUCUGAAAUUUUAAAUAUAUUCCAAAAUUAUAAAAAUGAGUUCGAACAUUUAUGAAAUCAAUUAAAUAAAUUAAUAAUACCUUAAUUUUAAUCAUUUUUGCCGUCCAUCUUAAACGUUCGUCAUUAGAUAAGAAUUAUUUUCAGAGACACUUUUUCCUUUUCAAUCAGAAGUGGCUCAUCUUUCGCUGGUCGUACUAACCGUUGCUGCAAACGAUGUUGAUAUUACAAUUAAUUCAGUUCCACCGAUCACCAGUGCUACCUUCACUGGCGACUUGUCGAAAUUGGUCUACAUCAAAUCUGCAAAGAUUGUCACUUGGUGAACUUUUUCGCCCAAAUAACUAAUAAUUUAUAGAUAAAAUUAAGAAUAUUAAGGCCUAUUAGCUCAGUUGGUUAGAGCGUCGUGCUAAUAACGCGAAGGUCACAGGUUCGAGACCUGUAUAGGCCAUUUUAUUUUUUUAUAAUAAUAGUUUAUUUUAAAUAAAAGUAUUUCAGUAAUAUUUUCUUUUAUAAUCUGGCGGGAAGAGUAGCGACGACCACUCGAGUGCGAUUUCUUUCCGACUUCACGCUGCCUUUUUUCCGAUUGAAAAAAAAAAGAAUUCAGAGUCUGUUCCUACACUUAUUAAAUGGUCUUCUGACGAGCUCUGCAUUAUGGGAAUCGACGAAGGAUCCCGUUUUAGGUAUUUCCUUCCUUUCAAAGUUUCAUUCAUUAUGGAAAUGAUAGUACGGUGGUUGCAGGUCCGAUGGUUUAUGGAUGCAUGUAUUCCCUGUACCAUUUCUUACAAAAACACACUUACAUCUCUAGAAUUUGCAGGUCCGACAUUCCCCCUAAUCAUUUCAGAAUUUGCAGGCCUCUUCUUUUGUAAAAUAAUUAUUUUUGGACAGAUUCAAAGACACUGAAAGAGGAAAAGAGAGAAGAGUUGUUUGAAAAUCUGAAGAUGGACAAUUGCAUUGGAUGGGAAGCUUUCAGCUAAGAUGCUAAAAAAGUGUGUGAAUAAAUCGAUUAUUUAGUAUCCAUCUGACCAUCUAUAUAUAUAUAUCUAUUUUGUAUUUAGUUUUUUCUUAUGUGAAUGAAGUUUUGUUAUCGACAUACACAGGACAAAGAUCAAUCUGAAUGAAAUUUCACACGAUUCGGCAAUGGGGCUUAUCAGAAGGGUUCUUGACUUUGGUGUAAUGUUAACUGAAGUGAACUGAUUGACUCUCAUUCUUGAUAUAUAUUUUCCCAUAAACUCUUAUUUCUUGAAUUUCCAUAAUCAAUUACUGAUCCAAUUGUUUUCCCUUGAUUAGAUCAACUUGGAAACAGUUGGAGAUGUAGACAAGUACAGAAUCAAAAUAUCUGAGAGAUUCCCCGGUAUUAAAAUCGUUGUGUCGUAAAAGGCUGACAGUAUUUACCCAAUUGUUAGUGAAGCUAGCAUUAUCGCAAAGAUUGUAUAACAGACACCUCUUUAUUAUCUAGAAUUAACUUGAAUAACCAAUCAUAUGAUCAAAUCAAUUCAGGUUUCUCAAGAUCUUAACUGGGUGCUUAGCGAAACUGCUAAGAAUAUAGAUAGGAACUUUGGAUCUGGAUACCCAGGAGGUAAAAUAAUUUUCUCUUUUAAAUUUUUCUUUUGCUCAUCAAUUAGUUUAGCAGUAAAGUUUCAUUGGUUGUUAAAAGAAGUCAAAAUCUCCACAAUUCUGUAAUUAGAAUUUAUAAGCAUCUUACUUUCUGCUUUUCAUCAUCAGAUCCUGAAACAAAGACAUAGUUAAAAAGCAACAAACAUUUUGUAUUUGGAUUCCCAUCUCUAGUUCGCAUCAGCUGGGAAUCAUGUUCACCUUAUUCAGACUGUGUUGAAGUUGCAUGGUGGGUUCUUCUGAUCUUGUUAAAAUUUGGUGUUGCUUACUUCAGUUGUUAGAAUUUAAAAAGAUUCUUGGUCAUAUUUGCUAUUUACAGGGAGAAUGAUGAUGAGGAUGCUGAGUCUUCAAGCAAGAGCACUGGUUCCAGUGAUGACGGCGCCACGAGGAAAAAAGGGAAGAAGUGGAACCAGGUAGAUGUAAGCUUCAACUUAUUAAACAUUUCAAAUGAUUUUUGAUCCUUCGUUUUAUUUACCACUACUACUAGUGUUUACUAUGAUUUUUACAAGUGUAAAAAUAUUGUUAUAUUUUUGGUCAGUUUAAAAAAAAAAGUGGCUAUCAUCUUUCUGUUUCCAUUUUCCGCAUGUUGACACGUCAGACUGAACAGUCAACGUUGUUCUUAUCCGCAUCGCAUUCACAUUUUCAUAUCCCGGUGACGUGGUGGGUCCAUCUAAAUGGAUAAGAUUAAAAUAAUCUGUUUGUAGUUGCCACGUCAUUAUCCACCGACCACAGGCAACUACUAUUUAUUACCAUCAUAACCCUGCCUGCUUCAAUUGUUCCGCGUUUGCCAUUCCUCUCUGUUCAGAUAUUUAUAAUCUGAUCUUCUUCUCUCGCCCGAUCACUGCAGUGGCCAUCCAUCUAUGAUCUAUCAAUCGAUCUACGGCUUCUUUGCUACUUAUUUCUUCAAUGGAAGCUUUCCGACCGAAGAAAUCCCCCUUAUCCGAUAGAUUGUUUGGCAGUUUUGCAGCUUCUGAAACCCUAGAAACAGCUGUUCGCGGUAACGACGGUGGUGAGUUGGAUGAGAAGGAAGUUUUCUGUGUAGGUACAGAUUUCUAUUCGAAAUCUUUUCCGUCGGACACUGAGAAUCAUUCCUCGGCAUCUGCCACCAUGUCUCCUUCCGGUAGUUUCCGACUGCUUCCUUCUGUACAGAGUUUCGGCAUUCUCGCCGCCCUCCCGGAGGACAUCAAAUCUCAGAAGAAGAUGCCAGUGCGGAGCAACAGCUUCAUGCAACGGAAAUCCUCUAUGUCGUCGAUGAAUACGACAUCAACCUCGCCGUCUUCUUCGUCGGCGAGGGUGAUGAUUCCGAAGCCGAAGUCAUCGGAGUACAACGGAGGGGCAAUUAUUUUCCCACAGUCCGCACCGAUGAACGUACCGGUUGUGUCUAGAGAGAGUGAGAGAAAUCGGAAUUGGUGGGGGGAGGUUGAUUACGAAUAUGUAAGCGAUGCUGAUGAUGAUGAAGAAGAUGAGGGGAUGCUUCCGCCUCAUGAGAUCGUGGCAAGAGCAUCGCUAAGGGAUUCACCGAUGACAACAUUCUCGGUGCUGGAAGGCGUCGGUAGGACUCUGAAAGGGAGUGAUCUCAGGCGUGUACGCAAUGCUGUCUGGAGACAAACAGGUUUUCUAGAUUGACGGUCAGCCGUCUGUUGUUUGAGUUCUAGAGCAAGUCUUUUUUUUUUGCUGCGUUUUUUCCCGUUGGUUGGUAAAUGGUAACCCAAACAAACAGUGUGUUUUGACUGCAAAAAAUAUCUCUAUUUAACGAGGUGGAUUAUUUAAUUUCCCCACACAAUUUGCACUUUGCCCCAAAGACCAAACCAAAUAACCAAUUAUUCUUGCAGCUUUAAAUAUAUUUUUCUUGGCUAUUGACUUAUUUUUAAGAUAAAAUCAUCUGGUGAUUUUUUUAAUUUAAAAAAAAAUAGUGUCAUGUGCGAAAUAAAAAUAGUGUCAUAAAUGACAUAUUUAAAAUUUAAAUAUCUAAAAUUUUAAAUGGAUAAAUUUUAAAUGGAUAAACUUUUUACCUUGAUUUUUAAAGGACAUGAGAUUUAAUAAUCCUAUAUCUAAUAUAAUAUAAUUUAAUUUAUUAAAAAAGAAGAGCAAAAAUUAUUUUUCAAAAAACCGGAACGACUCGUUCGGGUUUCGCCCUGUCCCCAGACCCGUCCCGGAAUAUGACUGAGGCAACGAAGCAAAAAAAUUAAAAACGAGAUAGAAUAUCUGCCCCGUCCCGUAGCACCCCACCUUAUCUUAUCCAUUACUUUACAACUUACAAUUCCACUAAAUAUUGAUUUCCUCAUUUUCAUGCUUCCAAAUUGAAAUUAAAGAAAUCUUUCCUCAAAAGCUUGUGGAUUAGUUAAUUUUUUUCUUGUACAUCCAUUUAGAAACAUGAUGAUACCAGUCUGCAGUCUUAGUGUCUUACUGGGUUGGUUCAUUAGCCCAGUUUAUGAUCCACGAAUCAGGUGUGGACGCCGGACGUACAACCCAUCCGUAAUUCGUUAGGAACCUGUGUAAAUAUCUCAUCGAUUCACAAACUAUGGAUUUUUCUGUCUGUUGUCGAAAUUUUUUAAAAAAAUCUAAGAACACAAGUGAUGUUUACCCUCACAUGAUAUAUCAGAGUUAUAUAAUGUAUCACUAAAUACAUCGUAAUAAAAAUUACAUACACAGCAAGACUCAAAAACUGAAUCAUCAGAAAUUUUAAUAGUUAUUCAUUUGUGUAAAUUUAUCACAUGUGUCAGGCAAAUUCUAUGGGAAAAUAAUUUAGAAUCGAGUUGAAUUCUAUGGUCGGAGUUAACACUGAAUUCAAUGUGAAAGGAAAAAAUGAGUUUUAUUUCAUAAUAAUCAAAACUAUUAUACACUAAACUAUUCUUAUGAAAAGGAAAUGGUGAGAAAGUUUGGGAGAAUGUAAUUUAAUCCGUCAUUUUCAUUUAAAAACGUUAUUUAAAUCAUUCUGUUCUGUUGAUGGGUAAAAUAUCGAAAAAUCCUCCCCCUUUUGUUUACAAUCGGGGUAUUUAAGGUGAUGGAGGACGUGUGCUGCAUGGACACGUGGUAGGUCCGGUGUCUCCAUGCCGAUGGAAACCGGACAUGCAGCCGUGGUUUUGGCUGCAUGUGCUGGUGUUACGCAAUUGGAUAUCAACAGUUAUUCCCCUCCUAAAAGAAACCAAAAAGAAACGUUCUGCCCGUGGAGAUGGAGACAACGCGAUCCUUGUUGGAAGAAUACGGACUAGAGUUAGUUUAUCUGUAGACCGUGAUCGGGGGCCUCAUGGUUAUGUCAUCGGAUGACGGAUCUGAUGGUCAGCUAACGUCGCUCCUAGAGAGCCUGAACUUCUUGCUUUUCGAUGUGAAAAAAUGUUUCACGCUUCAACCGAAGGCUGACAUUGCCGAACCUAGUCUCUGUGUCUGUGAUGGUGUGUGCGAGUAUCGUGCAUCCAAUUCCACCCCCCAUUCAAGCCGUCGUACGGUGCGCAAAAGCCCGCGCUGAGGUGUUGAUCAUGGAUGGCAGAUCGUCCACUGUCGUUUUCUUUUACUCAUCUUUGUAUCUUGUAAUUUUUAUAGCUUCUUUGUACUUUGUUUGCAUUUGAAUAAUAAAAUGGGUUGUUUGCAAUUUUAGUUUCUUAUGUCUUUAAAAAGAGGGGUGUUGCUGGUUUGUUUGUAAGAGCUGUUCUUCAGGCGAUUUUUACUUGUCGCGUAAUAUGUCUAAAACUUCCCUAAAACUGACACCCUUUUCGACCUGUUUUUCGCGAGGUGUUUGUCGAUCUGGUUCGCCGCUGACGGCUGCUUGGGUGGAAUCAAAUAUGGAUUUUUCUAUUUACUUUCCAAAGUAAGUUUCUUCCUUUUUUCUUGAGAAGAGGGGUGUAAUGAUGCGUUUUUCUUUCUCUCUUUUUUUGGUGAAAAUUUCAAUUUUCUGCCGGCGCUUCCUUCAUCUUGCACUUCCACAGCGUCUCGUCUUGUCACGGUUGCGUCAGAUGGAUUGCGCCAAUCCAUUAAUGUAGAUUCUGAACGUGUCAGGUUUCCUUUCUAAACCCUCCACUUCGCUAUUUAAAUAGCGACCUCAUUCUUCCAUUUUUGCAGCGAGAUUUUGGUACCACCAACCCCCGGGCGUGAAGCGGACAAAAUAGAGCCUGGUGAGGGAAUAUUUUCUCUGUUGUCGUACUGUCGUUCCGAUUAAAUGGCUUUCCUUUUUACUGCUUACCACUCGUUUGCCUUUUUUUUCUUUUUCAGACUAUGCGUUCUUGGAACUUACUGAUUAUUUUGAUAGAGACGCGUUGACUCGCUCGCCACAGCUUAGUGCUCCUUCCCCAUUCCUGGCUAAUUCCCGGAUCUGCCGGUAGGUGAUCUUUCUUUUUUUAUCUCUGUUCUUCAUCAGGUCGUUAACUUCUUAUACAUUUCUUUCUCUUCUUCUUCUUUUUUUCUUUCUCUUUUUUUAAACCACUGAGAGUGACACUCGUGUUGAGACCCCCCCCGGGGGGUGGUACUUCUGUUCCGUCCAAUAUUGUUGCUUGGAGUUUUUUUCCGAUAUCUGUGACGCUAGAUGGCAUGCCGGUUCCAUUUUUCUAUUCCGCUCCAGUGACUACCGCUCGUUGGAAUGGCGUGACAGAGUUUGGGAGGGAUAUAGGGCUCCAUAACCCGGAGUGGAGGUCUCUGCAAUCCGUUCCUUGCCCGACUCUGUUGGAAGGUGCUAUUGCUACAAAUCUAAAUGUGAGAAGAAGAAAAUUCCGAGCUUGUUGUGAUUCUUUCUCCUCUUUUCUUUCUUCUUUCUUUUUUCUUUUAAAAUCUGGUGUUUUCUUGCCGUCGCUGCUUCCUCUCAAGGUUGCCUAUGCUUAGGUUAAUUAUAUGGUGUCGGAGAACGCAAGCUAUCGUACCAAGAAUACCCGUCUUAGCGCCAUGAUGAUUUUGACCAUCGCUUUUAUUUUGACCAUGAUGAUUUCCUUUUUCCUUCUACUAGCGUAGUUGGUGAUUGAAUUGUUCGUAUAAGUAAUGAUGUUAGUAGAAGUACACUACAAAGUAGCGUAUUGGGUAAGUACUAAUAUUAGCAGAAGUACACUACAUAGUAGCGUAGUUGGUGGUUGAAUUGUUCGUAUAAGUAGUGAUAUUAGCAGAAGUACACUACAAAGUAGCGUAUUGGGUAAGUACUAAUAUUAGCAGAAGUACAUUAUAUAUUAGCGUAGUUGGUGAUUGAAUUGUUCAUAUAAGUAGUGAUAUUAGCAGAAGUAUACUAGAAAGUAACGUAAUGGGUAAGUACUAAUAUUAGCAGAAGUAAAUUAGAAAGUAUCGUAUUGGGUAAGUACUAAUAUUAGCAGAAGUAUAUUGCAUAAUAGCGUGGUUGGUAAAUUAACACUUCUUAUAAGUAGUGAUAUUAGAAGAAGUACACUUGAAAAGUAGCGUAUUGGCUAAAUAUUAAUAUUAACAAAAGUACAUUGCAUAGUAGUGUGGUUGGUGAUUUAACACUUCGUAUAAAUAGUCAUAUUAGCAGAAGUACACUAUAAAGUAGCGUAUUGGGUAAGUACUAAUAUAUUUUUAGUCGAUCAUAAACGAACAGAAAAUCUCAUAGUUGAUGUGAAAUCAUAGUAUGAUUGAAUAGCCGAUUGAAAAGAAGAAAAUACUAAAAAGGGAAAAAAAUGUUAAGCAUUUCAUGUAAGAAGCAUAAAGGGAAAAAAAAAUAAAAAUAAAACACACACCUUCAAAUCGAAAGACAAACACACACCUUCAAAUCGAAAGACAAACACAGGGAAAUAUGAUUGUUGGGUUCCAAGAUCAGGAAAAUAUAAUAGAAGGAAAAUGAUGAACAAUUAGGAAGAUUGGAAAAAAAUAGAAGUUGAGAAAAAAAGGAAGUAAAGAAGAUUGAGACAAGGUGACAAUACCGAAUAAAGACAGAUGAAGAGAUAGGAAGGGCAAUAUGGUUGGUGUUAGGACGCUUUGUACAGAGAAAAGAUCGUGUUGACAAAAAUUAUGAGAGGAAAAAAUAUGAAUUUUACAUGAAAGAUUUAUAUUAAUAGAAGAAAAUAUUUAUAUAGCAUUGCAGUUCGAUAAAAUAUAACAACAUCCUUGUGUAAUAGAAGGAGAGAAUUGGGAAGAGAGUAUUCGGAUGGGAUGAAAGAUAAUGACAAGAGGAAAAUGACAAAGAUUUGAACAAAAAAUGCAGCACAACUAGGGGAGUACAAAUGUCAGGUUAGAUGUUGGUAAUGGUAAUGUGAGAGAGAAUAGUUGUAAGAUAUGACUACAAAAUAAAAAUGAAAGUAACAAGAAGAAUGGGAAGUAUUGCUGCAAAGGUAUACCGAAGAAGAAGAAGAAAACAUUUGCCAGACACAGGACAGAGAUAGAAUAGGAGGGAGAGAGAUGGAGGGAGAUAAAAAGAAAUUGUUUCUGGUACGUGAGCGAGAGUGAGAGAAAUAUAUAUAUUUUUUCUUUCUUCCUGACACAAGGUACUGAGGUCAGAAAAAUGAGUGAAUAAAAAAAUUGAAAAAAAAUUGAAAAUACUAAACUGAUACUAUUUUGAAAAGAGUGGUCAAGAUUCAUCAUCAUGGAAUAGACGCAGAUAAAGUUCUCACGUUCGGGUUCUCACCAGAUCUUUUUUGUAUUUACAUAGUGUUGUAGUUUUUCUGAUUAGUGAUAGUACCUUUUAAGAUUGCUCGCAUGCCAGGUUCUUGGGAUUGCUGUUCCGUCUUCAUUGAUUAGCUUGAAUGUGCCGGUUUUCCAUUCUUUUUUAAUAAUGUAUGGUCCCUCCCAAUUUUUUGAUAAUUUUCCCUUGUUCUGCUCUGUCAUUGUUAGGUGAGCAUUUCUAAUUAGUACAAGGUCUCCCGGGGUCAGCUUGUUAUUCCCCACUCUUUUGUUGAAUAUCCUUUCGAUUGAUCUUCUUUUGUAGGUUGUUCCUUCAUUUCUGCUUUUUCUCUGAUAUUUUCUAUGACAUCCAGAUUUCUUGAGAGUUUUUCUUCAUUAAUUUCUUCGUCAUACCCCACGAUUCUAGCCGAGGGCCAAACUAAUUCGCAUGGGGCUACUGCCUCGAGUCCGAACACCAGGUUAAAUGGUGUGUAUCCAUUUGUUGUUUUAAUAGUUGUUCUAUAUGCCCAUAGUACUUCCGGAAUCUUUUCUGCCCAAACUUUAGGAUUCUCAUCUACUUUCUUUUUUAGAAUCUUUAUCAGAGUUUUAUUGGUUGCUUCUACCUGACCGUUUGUUUGAAGAUGAUAGGCUGAGGCGAAACUUAGUUUGAUUUCGUUCUCUUUGCAAAAUUUUCUCAUUCCUCCUCCGGUGAACUGUGUCCCGUUGUCUGUGAUGAUUUGUAUUGGUACACCAAAUCUGCAUACAAUGCUUCUGAAAAUGAAUUUUACUGUGCUUUCUUGAGAUAUUAAUUAUUCUUACAGGUUCUGCUUCUGCCCACUUGGUAAAAUAAUCGAUUGCGCCGAACAAUUUUUUUUUCCCUUGAGAAACGGUUGGAAAUGGCCCUACUAUGUCGAUUCCCCAUCUUGCAAAUGGUAUUGGUGUGAUAAUGCUUGUUAAUUCUGUAGAUGAUAUUUUUGGGAUAUCUGCAUAGAUUUGGCAUUCUUUGCAAUUUUUUAUUAUCUUUUUCGCAUCUCAUUCCAUGUGUGACCAGUAAUAGCCUUGUCGUUGAAUAUGUAGGAAUAACUUCCUUUUCCCUUGAUGGGCUCCGUUUUCUCCGUUGUGUAUGCUUGUUGUUAUCUCCUUUCCUUCUUCUGGUGAUACACAGAUUUUGUAUGGCUGAUCCUUUGAUUAUAUUUCUUUUCUAAAUAGUUCAUUGUUGAUGAUGGUGAAAUGUGCGGAUUGAUUUUUGAUCUUUUGAUUUUUGAUUUUUUCCCCAUUCAGCUUUUCUCCACUUAGGUAUUUGUAUACAGGGGUUCUCCAAUCGGGUUUGUCUAGUGAUACUGAAUAGAUUUUAAAUGAGGGGGUUGCUAUGCUUUCUAAUUGAAUCCAUUUUCUUUCCUUUAAGGUUGAUAGAUUUGCUCCUAACCUGGCUAGGGCGUCUGCAUCUUCGUUUAAACUCCUGUUAAUUAGAUUUAUGUUUAUUUUUUGGAAUUCUUUUAUCAUGGUUGUGACUUGAUCCUUAUAUAAUUUAGGCGUAGGCUCUCGGACCUCGAAGUCUUCGCUUAUCUGACCGUGUACUAAUUGCGAGUCCGUGAAUACUUCUAAUUUCUUAAUAUCUAGGUUUUUAGCUAUUCUUAGUCCUGCUAUGAGGGCUUCGUACUCGGUUAUGUUAUUAGUGGUUUGAAACGUAAAGUUGAAAGCAUAUUCUAUUUUGAUAUUUGCUUGAUCUAUCAAAACUAUGCCUGCUCCACAUUUAUUUUUCCCGAUGAUCCGUCAACGAAUAAUUUUCAAUUCUCGUUUUCUUCAUCUUGACUUUUUGGGGUUAAUUCCACUAAAAAAUCGGCUAAUGCUUGGGCUUUUAUUACUUUUUAUGGUGUAAAUGUUAUGUCGAAUUUGUUUAAUUCUAAGGCUCACUUGCUCAUCCUUCCUGAAAUAUUGGGUCUGUGGAGUGUCUGCAACAAUGGGUACCUAGUUGGGAUGACUAUCGAGUGUGCCUGAAAAUAGGGUUUCAGUCUUCGUGCUGACAUGACUACUGCUAAUGCCAGUCUCUCUAGAGGUGGGUAUGUGUUUUCUGCUCCUUGUAAUUUUUUGGAAAAGUAGAAUACUGGUUUUUGGAUUUUUUCUCUUUCGGUAACUAGAACCGAACUUACAGCGGAAUCUGACACUGCAAUGUAUAGAAACAAAGUUUCUCCUUUCUGUGGUGUUUGCAGUAUCAGGAGUUCUGAAAGUUCCUUUUUAAUAUUAUCUAACGCGUUACUGCACUCCUUAUUCCAUUCGAUUUUUCCUUUGUGCUUCCUAAUUAGUUUGAAGAAAUCCUUACAUUCGUCUGUGGAUCUGGGGAUGAAUCGGUGGAGUGCUGCGAUUUUCCCAUUCAUUGAUUGCAGAUCCUUCAGGUUUUUCGGUAUUUCCAGUUCCCUAAUGGCCUGAAUUUUUGUUGGGUUGGAUUUUAUUCCGUCUAGGGUUAUAAUGUAACCUAAGAACUUUCCUUCCCUUACUCCGAACACACACUUAUCUAACUUUAGUUUUAUACCGAAUUUUCUCAGGUUGUUGAAGGUUUCUUCUAAGUCCUGUGGAUGAUCUUCCUUCGAUUUGGAUUUCACAAAGAUAUCAUCUACCUACACUUCCACAUUCCUGUUGACUUGAUUCUUGAAGAUUUCGUCCAUUAAUCUUUGGAACGUUGCUCCUGCGUUUUUUAAUCCGAAUGACAUCUUAGUGUAGCAGAACGUUCCUAUUUCCGAGAUAAAUGAGGUUUUUUCCUCGUCGUGCUUAUUCAUGGGUAUUUGGUUGUAUCCUGAAUAUGCGUCCAUAAAACUAAGCAACUCAUGACUAGAGCUUCUGUCUAUCAGCUGGUCAAUCCAAGGUAGCGGAUAGCUAUCUUUCGGACAAAAUUUAUUCAGUGACGCAAAAUCGAUACACAUUCUCCAGGUUCCUACAGAUUUCUUAAUCAUAACUAUAUUUGAAAGCUAUAUGGGAUAUUUUACUUCUCUUAUGAAGUCGUUUUUUCUUAACUUCUCUAUUUCUGGGAUAUUGGAAGGUCAGAAGAAGAGAAACGCGCUGUGUUUGAAAUUAGUCAAAGAAUGGGUUUUAAAUUUUUAUGUUAAUAAUAUUUUCUAAACUAGAAGGAUUUUUUCACAAAAUAUCAAAAUUGAUCUCUGUAGUUAGUUAACUGACGACACAAACACGAGGGAUCUGAAAAAGAAAGGGAAGUACCAACAAAGAAUCGAACGGGAGGGAAAGAGGGCAAUCGUCUUGUUAAUCGGACCUUGCGGCGGAGGAAACGUUCACACCAAAAUCACCGACACUGUCCUCUUCCCGUCUAUUCUCUGUCUAUAAAUAGAACUAACACAGCCUGAAGUCGGCGACGUAAGGAUCGCCGCCGUAACUAUUCUGUUUACUCAUCUAUCUGUUUCCCGCUUUUUCUUUCUUUCUCUUUCUUUCCGUUUCCUUUUCAUUUUUUUCUUGUAUGGCGUCGUUUCCACCACUGAUCUCCUCGAUGCAAACUGAAAACGUCACCAUGGCACCCCGGUUUGGAUUUCACAUUCAAUGUACGAUUUCCAAUCCCUAGUUUGUUAGUUAUUAAUUGAAGAUUACCUCCCUCUUAUUUUAUUUUUCACAUAUAAUCUGUACGUUGGAAUUUGUUUCGGUGAUCGAGAGUUAUUCUUUCUCUCCCUGUAUUUUUGUCCUUAUUGAUGGGUUUUUGAGCUCUUAAUUAUUUUUUAUUACUACAACUGAGGUGCAAAUUUAAUUGAAAUGUCUUUUGGUCCUUUCUCUGAUAGUAGUUUUUUUUUUGUGUUUACUGAUGAUGAGCACAAGCUUAUGCAAAGUUUACUUGGCCUUUUUUUUUCUUCUUUCAGAAAUCUCAACUGCUAACCUGUUAUGAUGGCAUUGCCAGAGUCUGAUGUUGUGAAUGGGGGGGAGAGUAACGAUGUUGUAGCAGAUGGUAAAAUUGUGAAGAAUGGUGGCAUAACAAUUCAGUCUUCUUCUUCCAAGAAAAAGUUUGUAUUAAAAGAUACCCUCUCUUUUGCUAACAUUUUAAGAUCAAGGAACAAGUUUGUGGAAGCUCUUUCUAUGUAUCAAACCAUUUUGGAAAAAGAUAGUUCAAAUGUCGAAGCUUAUAUUGGAAAGGGAAUUUGUCUUCAGACGCAGAACAUGAUAAGCGAAUCUUUUGAAUGUUUUAUAGAGGCUAUUAAGCUUGAUCCGCACAAUGCAUGUGCACUUACCCAUUGCGGAAUUCUCUACAAGGAUGGAGGGCUCUUGCAGGAAGCUGCUGAGGUAUGCAUUCUUUUAAUCUCUAAAAUGAUUAUUAUAGUAUUUAUGUAAUUUUCAAAACACUUUAUGGCAUAGGAUAUAAAAAGGUGGGAGCUGUCUUUGCAAAAGUUAUUUUUGUUUGCCGGCAAGUGUUACCAUCUAUAGUUCUGUUUCCAUGUUUGGGUUCAAAUGUUUUUUCUUUCUUUUUCUCAUUCACGUUUGAUGUUUAAAACACUUUAUCGUGCUAAAAUUCUUAUCUCUUUUUUAGUCACCCCUAUUUCAAUUCAAGUAUUUAAAUAAGACUUGGUCAUCUUCUUUGAUGCCAAUAUCUAUAAAAAAUAUCUAGUACUCGUAGAUUGAGGUUAAUGCUUUACUCUCUGAGGAGUCUAAUUCCUUGAGACACUCACCAGAAUCUAUAUAAUGCCAAUGGCAGAGCUAUGUAGUGAUAACAAUCAAUAAUGAUAAGCUCUAAGCUUAUCUCUCAAAUGAUUAUAUCUGGAUUUGGCCCUUUAUUUUAUAUUAAUAGAAUUAUAAAUUUAUACAAAAAAAGUAUUUUUCAUUUUAGCUAUGAGUUAGGAUGGAAACUUGGAAUACUGAUUACAGUAAAAGGACAAGAUAUCUUUUCUGUAUUUUUAUUUAAAGCAGUUAAAUAUUUUCGUUAAGAGAAAAUGAAGGAUAUUUCCCUGAAUACAAUGGAAAUUAGCAUAAGAAUAAAAAUAUGAAAAUUAGUGCAGGACUCAUUUUGACACUUUCCACACAACCAUUUUGCCUAGUAUAGAAACUAGGCUCUCUGCUUCCGGAGGUUGGUCUUCCAUAUCUGUAUCGUGCUAGGUCCCAAGGGACGACAACAUCUCUUCUUGAAGCCCUUGGAUAGGAAAUAUUUAUGUCAUUAAUGACUUCUUUGAGAGCUGUUUCUGGUGGCCGGAAUGAAUGUUGUUGCCAUCUUUUGUUUCUUUCUGCCCAUAUAUGUCAACUCAAGGGUCCAAUCAUAUUCCAUAGUAGGCCCUAAAUUUGAGAGUGCCGUGUUAGCUUUUGACAUGCCUCAGUUAGGUCCCCUAGUCUAAUUUCAGGAUGUGUGAUAGUAGGCGUGGCCGCGUGGCUAUAUUCAUGAUUUUCCAUAAAUUUGUGGGAUGCUUUACUUCUGUGGCAAACCCCCGAGUUUCACGGGUUUAGAGUCAAUGUGCAUGCCUCAUUUCUCACACCAGCUACAUUUUUAUCUUUACUAUGUAUUUUCCUGUUCAAUUUCCAUUCUAAUGGACUUUUAACUUCAUAAAAAAACAAUAAAUAUUUUUUUAGUUCAAUAGGCGAUCUUUGUAACACUAACACUUGUUGCAUUUUCUUACAGACGUAUAAAAAAGCUCUUCAUGAAGAUCCUGGUUACAAACCAGCUGCCGAGUGUCUUGCGAUUGUUUUAACAGACCUUGGAACCACCUUAAAGCUUGCUGGAAACACUCAGGAGGGAAUACAAAAAUAUUGUGAAGCUUUAAAAAUAGACAACAGCUAUGCUGUAAUACCCCAGCUAUAAAACUUCAUUGUUUUCUGUCUGUUGUGUUAAUUUCAAUGAUAUUUUUUCAUGCAGCCUGCUUAUUAUAAUCUAGGGGUUGUAUAUUCAGAAAUGAUGCAGUAUGACAAUGCUCUUACCUGUUAUGAGAAGGCUGCUCUACAGAGGCCUAUGUAUGCAGAAGCAUACUGUAACAUGGGAGUCAUACACAAAAAUCGAGGGGACUUGGAAUCGGCAAUCACUUGCUAUGAGAGGUGCUUCCUUGUUAUAUGUUCAAUUAUUUAGCAUGUGAAUUGUGAAAGAUACAUAACUAAUUUUCAUUUCACAUUUGAUGUAAAUUUUCUUUUCAAUUUUCAGAUGCUUAGCUAUGUCUCCUAACUUUGAGAUUGCCAAAAACAAUAUGGCAAUAGCUUUGACAGAUUUGGGAACAAAGGUGUGUUUGAUCACUUUUCUUGAAUACUUUUUUUUUUGAUAAAGUUGAGGGCUUCUUGAAAACCAUGGCUGAUUGGGUACUUUUUUGUUAUGAUUACAUUUUCAAAAAGUGUCGAUGGGCUCAUGGGUCUGUCCAUCUUUUUCUCCGAUAUGCCAUUUUUCACUUGGCUGUUUAGCUAAGAAAAAAAACUAGUUAUAUAUUUUUUUCCAACGAAAAAUACAGGCUUAAUCAUAUAUUUAUUUUAUUGACCAUUUAUUAUCUUACUGUUUGUUAUACAUGAAUUAAUGCAGGUAAAACUAGAGGGCGAUAUUAACCAAGGUGUGGCUUAUUAUAAAAAAGCCUUAUACUACAACUGCCGAUAUGCUGACGCCAUGUAUAACCUUGGUGUUGCAUAUGGUGAAAUGUUAAAAUUUGAAACUGUAAGUUAUUCCUAUAUGGCUGUAUGUCUAUUUCUCAUAAGGAAAAGAUUAAGAUCAUUAUAUGAUUUUUUCUAAUAAUUGUUGCAUACCAUUUGUGAUCGUGUUAGAUAAUUGAAAUAAAUGCUUUUCUUUGACGUUCUUUUGUGAAGGCAAUCAUAUUUUACGAGCUUGCUUUGCACUUCAAUCCGCAAUGUGCAGAGGCAUGUAAUAAUUUAGGAGUAAUAUACAAAGAUAGAGAUAAUCUUGAAAAGGCGGUGGAGUGUUAUCAGGUGAUUUUUAUGAAUAUUUCAUUUGAUCUUGGAUGUUUUUCAAUUUCGCACUUUUCUGUGUUCUUUGCAAGAUUUGGGUAUUAUAUUACUAUUAACUCUGAUAUUUAUAUAAUAUAUGAACUUGUUAUCUUUCAGACAGCGUUAAUGAUCAAACCAACAUUUUCUCAGUCUCUAAACAAUCUUGGUGUUAUCUACACUGUCCAGGUCAAUCUCCUGAUCCUCCUCUUUCAUUCAUAUUAUUUUUGUGAAGUGGAUGCAUAUGGUGAGAAAUUCCUUGUUUUUUACAGGGGAAAAUGGAUUUGGCGGCUAACAUGAUUGAAAAAGCAAUUGCUGCCAAUUCCACAUAUGCAGAAGCAUAUAACAAUUUGGGUACCAGCUAUUCUUUACUAUUAUAUUUUUUGUAAUCGUGAAUUAUUAGCAUUGAAGAUCUUUGUCAUACAUUUCUAGUAAAAGGGAUUACCUAAUAGCAUGUAGUCAUGUAAAUAAGUACUUAACUAUGUAGAGUUAAGUAUAAGAUAUAUCUUAUAUUUAAAAAAUUCUAUAUUUAUAGAGUAACAUUUAUAUUUAUGCAUACAUUUCAUUCAAUUUGAUUAUUGAGAUAUAUUAUACUUCUGCAGUUCUGCUGUUAUUACUUUGCUCGAGUUAAUAUUUUCCUUGGUAACACAUCCAAUCUCCAAAUUCUCUAUGUUUAGGUGUUCUCUAUAGAGAUGCAGGAGACAUUGCCUUAUCUAUUGAUGCGUAUGAGAAGUGCCUUCAAAUUGACUGUGAUUCACGUAAUGCUGGCCAGGUAGUGCAUAAAUGGCAUAAUUGUUCUUAUUAAAAAAUUAAAAAAAGUUAAUUUUUAAUCAGCUUAAAUGUCUUGUUCAUUUGUUAACUGGAUCUAUUCAAUUUUUCUUUAUUAACCCUACCAUGUGUCAUGUGUGCUAGUAAAACAAGGUAGCCUAUUUUGAAACAUUGAGGUUCUGUCACUUUGUCAGUUUACUUGCAAAUAUAUUCACGAUUUUUUUGUAUCCAAAAAUAUACAUGUGAAUUUUAUUUUUCUUACACAAUCCAAAAUUAACAUCAUGUUAAAACUUUUUUUUUUGAAAGCAACGUCAUGUUAAAACUUGAAUUUAGUACAAUAAGGUAAAAAUAUGUUCGUUUUUAAAAUGUCAACUCAUCAAUUUAUUAUAAAUUUAUAAUUGGGACUUAGGUAGAAAUGCAUUUUUCCUAGUUAAUAGUUACAAGAUGCCAAGAUGGUACAUUCUAAAAAAGGAUGAUAGAUGGUAGUAAGUAGUAAGUUAUUUUGUAGACAAUAUGUUCAAUUAAAAUAAUCUUUCUGUUGAAACAUAUUUCUAUAAAUUGGGAUACUUUUUUUAUUUUUCAAAUUUUAACAAAUCAUUUUUUUCUAUCUAAUAAUUUAUCUGGUUGAUACAUCAUUAAGAUGUUUACAGUUUACUUCUUUUCACAAUUCUGUUUUCCUUUUCAGAAUCGUUUGCUAGCAAUGAACUAUGUAAAUGAGGGCGAUGAUGAUAAACUUUAUGAAGCUCACAGGUAGUUAUUCUCUAAUACACUUUCUAUUUCUCUCAGACCACAUGUGUCAUGAUAGUACUCCUGUACUUGAUGAAUUUAACACUUUCACUGGCUUGGGUAUAAACAGAGGAAAUAUUUCCAUGACUUUAUCAAAAGUAUGCCAGGGGGAUGAACAAUUAAUAAACAUACUGGGUUUCCAAGAAAAACACCUACCAAUCAUGUAUCUAGGCCUUCGGCCUUCCUAUUACAGGGAAGAAAAAAAUCCAUAAUCAAUGAUGGAAAUUAAUACAACCAGUAGAAAAACUGUUAUCCAAAUGAAAAUAAUGCAGGAUCAAUUAAUCCCACAGAUCAGAGAUUCAAUCAACUAGACAAGAUGGUGUUCUUGGUGAUUUGUGAUUGUAGGUUGAAUAAAUCUGGAUCGGAAAAUAGUAGGGAAAAUAGAAGGAAUUGACAGAAAGAAAAUGGGAGUAAAGGAUAGAGAACAAAGUAAAGGAGUACCUGAAUAAUGGUAUCAAGAAUUGCUCCUCUUUUCAGGUCCACUAUAUUUAUACUCAGGAGUCAGGACCAGGGUUAGAGGACAUGAUCACAGGACCACAGUAUGAGUGUGUGUGGUUCAGAGGUUGAACACACAGGCUCGAGCUAUUCUUAGGCCUCAUUUGGGGUCUGCUCUAUAUAAUUAGUUAAAUAUAGAUGUUGCUCUACAUCAGAAAGGGAAAAUACUUAUCGUACAGGGGUAGAAUACAAUUGGUAAACUGUAUAGUGGCUGGAAUGUAUAUAUACUGGGCACAGGGUACCACAUUACCAUGUUUAGUAGUAACCAAGGUUAGGAAGCUGCAUACCAGUUCAUAAUGGAUGGAAGAAAAGGGAUACCAUGAGAAAAAAUGGUUCUCCCAAAGAUGGAAGGUGGGCUAGGGGUCAGGAACUUUCCAGUUAUAACUAGGGCAGUGGCUAUAAAAAGAGCUGCCAACUUUUGGGGAGAGGGGAACUCUAUAUUGAUCAGUUGGGUCAAGAAAAGAUACAUAAGAGAACAAGCAUUAGAAAAUACACAGAUCAGACCAACAGUUGACUCUCUAAUGUGGAAACAACUCAUCGGCCAAAAAGUGGAAUUAGGAGAGAUAAUGAGUUGUGAGGCAAAUUACAUUAUUAUUUGGGAGAAAGUUAGGGUCUUAGGGAACUUUAUCCAACUAAUCAGACUUACUAGCCACAAGGGUCAAUUGGCACAAGGAAUAUGGCGAUGUGCCGGUAUCCAGACCCAAAAUUAUCUGCUAUGCAAUAAAGAUGAGAAAACAAUUAGCCAUCUCUUCUUUAAUUGGGAGUACAUGGGGGACAUCCUCAUUAGAGUUAUUGAAACAUUAGGACAGUUCAUUUGGAAAAUAACUAAUGUUCCAAUUCCUACACUCAACAUGGACAUCAGAAUUGGAGACCUUAUAGAGGCUUGUCAGAAUUCAGAAAUUCUUUAAAGAUACGCUAUGCUGGGGGCUGCAAUAUUGCAAUGGAAUAUUUUAGGGAGUACAACAUGGAAAAUAUGGGUUGAAAGGAAUAAAAGACUUAUGAACCAUAUACUUAGAAAUAUAAAAUAUGCUAUUAUGCAUUAAUGAUUUACCAUUCAUAAUUUUAUUUUACUUAUCAAUGUCUAUAAAACUUUAUUUUAGACUGAUCUACACCAAGCAUGUUCUAAUGCAUGUAUGCACUCUGACAUGGUGUUUUUACUAUCUUUCAGGAAAUGGGGUUGGCGUUUUAUGAAGCAAUUUCAACAGUAUAAAAUUUGGGAUAAUCCAAAAGAUACAGACCGACCGCUUAUUAUUGGAUAUAUUUCACCUGAUUAUUUUACUCAUUCUGUAUCAUAUUUCAUAGAAGCUCCACUUUGGUAUCAUAACUAUGAACUUUAUAAGGUUGUUGUGUAUUCUGCAGUAGUAAAGGUAUGCACUACUUUCUGUAUUAUUUUUGUGACAAAUAUAAUUAUGGAAUUACCUCAUAAUCUCAUAUAGAAGUUAUAGCUUUUGUAUGAAAAAUGGAGAAAAUAAACAAUUUUAUUGUUUUAUAUGUUUGGAUUAUGAUUUCUUGAUAAGUUAUCAUUAUUUGCGUGUUUCGAAAAGUCAUUCAAAUAAAAAAAAUCAUUUUGGACUUGGCAUUAAUGUUUUGCAGGCUGAUGCAAAAACCCAUAGAUUUAGAGAUAGAGUUCUGAAAAUGAGAGGAAUCUGGAGAGAGAUAUAUGGUAUAGAUGAAGUAAAGGUUGCUGAAAUGAUUAGAGAAGAUAAAAUUGACAUUCUAAUUGAGCUUACUGGUCACACAGCAAAUAAUCGUUUAGGUGUAAUGGCCUGCAGACCUGCUCCCAUUCAGGUACGUUCAUCUAUUGAAAUUGAAAACCGAUGCUUUUCUUUUGAAUGUUUCAUUAUUUUAUGAUUUGCAAGUAAACUAUUUUUCUUUGAAGUAUGAAUAGUUUGUUUUAAUUACUUAAGUAUUAGGUUUAUUCAUUAUUUGACAAUAAUGAAGUAGUGAAGUAGGCCAAUUUUAUACCUCAACAUUUAGAAUGGUAAAAUAGUCAAUACGGCAAAGAACCACAUUCAAUAAUACCCUUAGUCAGUCUGAGUAUGGUUACUAUAAUAAGUGAUUCGUUGAGAAUAAGAAUAAACAGUGAUCCAUUCAGAGGGCUGAAGGAAGUACCCUGAAUGAAUACCUCUAUCUAGUUACAGUAGUUAGUUAUAGGGAAUUAAGCUAAUAACAUUAUCACUAAUAGUUGCAUACAGAUCGAAAACACAAAUAUCAGUCUAUCAAGUUGGGAAGAGUGGAAGAGCCAUGACACUCAACCCGACAAGUCUGAAACUUUUAGAAUCGGUAAGAAUAUAUGUAAGAUAAAAUCAUAGACUAUUAGUAAAUACUAAAUACCAUAUGUUAAAAAAUGAAUUCAACAUGUGUGUAAUUAUUUGUGUUCUUAUCUUUGGAAGUUGUGCUUGGAUUUCUAAUUUCUUGGUCGAUAUUUAUUUUUAUCUUAUACAAGAAAUAUAUGUUUAUUUAGGUAACAUGGAUUGGAUACCCAAAUACAACUGGUUUGCCAACUAUUGAUUAUAGAUUGACUGAUUCUUUAGCUGAUCCACCUGAUACAAAGCAAAAGUAAAGUUUAAUUUACUUCAUGAUGAAUUGAUAUUUGAAAUCAUUCGAAUAUCGUAUCAAUGUAAUUUAUGUUUUAUUUUGGUAGGCAUGUUGAAGAGUUAGUUAGGCUUCCUGAAUGUUUUUUGUGCUACACACCUUCUCUUGAAGCUGGUCCAGUUUCACAGACUCCUGCAAUAGAAAAUGGUUUUGUUACUUUUGGAAGCUUUAACAAUCUAGCAAAGGUAACAAUAGACGAUGUUUUUAACCAACCACAUGUUCUUAAUUCUUUAUUGGCAUGAUCAAUCAUUUAUUCUCUCUUCCACAGAUAACACCUAAAGUGUUGAAAGUUUGGGCUAGGAUAUUAUGCGAGGUUCCAAAUUCUCGACUCAUAGUUAAGUGUAAGCCGUUUUGCUGUGAUAGUGUGAGACAGAGGUUUCUAUCAAUGUUGGAGGAACUGGGUUUGGACCCUUUGCGUGUCGAUCUUUUACCUUUAAUUUUAUUGAAUCAUGACCAUCUGACAGCAUACAACCUCAUGGACAUCAGGUGCUUGCUUGAAACCCAUAUUUUAUUUUAUUUUAUUUUAUUUCAUGUUUGGUUUUGCCAAUUUUAUUUUGGGUUUUCGAAUAACGUUUGUAUAUUUAUGGCAAAUAACCGGAAUUUAUGUUGAGUAAAAUAAUGGAAAAUAUUUUUUUAUCGUUUCUGUUUAAUUUUGUUCGAUUACUGCAGCUUGGACACAUUUCCAUACGCUGGAACAACUACUACCUUUGAAUCUCUGUACAUGGGCGUACCGUGUGUUACUAUGGCUGGUUCUGUGCAUGCUCAUAAUGUAGGUGUUAGCAUUCUCACAAAAGUGGGUAAGUUUUUUUUAAUUCUUGAUCAUGUGCGAUACAAAUAGAAAAUAAUUGAUUAAAAUAAUUAAUAUUCUUGAGUAAUGCACCUUUAACCAACUUUUUAUCGAAAUUAUUUUGACCACGAAAUGCACAGGCGUAGGGAAUUUAGUUGCCAAGUCAGAAGAGGAAUACAUUAAUCUUGCUGUUCAGUUAGCUUCAGACAUCGACUCACUUUCCAAUCUAAGAAUGAGUCUCAGGGAGCUCAUGCUGACAUCUCCAAUCUGCAAUGGCGUGAAAUUCACAAAAGAUUUAGAGACUAAGUACAGGGAGAUGUGGUACAGAUACUGUAGAAAUGAUAUACCCUCACUGAGGAACCUAGAAUUGAUGGAGGAGGAGGAACAAGCUAUCUCCGACCUACAGGUCUUAUUGAAAUCUCCCAUUCCAAUUACAUCAUCAACGGUUAUAGAAGAUGCAUCCUUGCCCAUUGGUUUUUCUACUCUCAAUGAAAAGACAGCAAAUGCAUGUUCUGAGUAGUAGAGAAUCUAGAGAUUGUACAUUAUUUCGUGGAGAUUGCCAGAUUGGGAUAUGUUGUGUAUUUAUUUAGCAGUUUGUGUAUCCUUGAAAUUGUAUUUUUAAUCCAUUAUUGAAGAUAGAAAUUAGCACUGAAAAUUUGUAAUCCAGUCGCAGUUGAGGAAAAAGCCAAUACAUGAUUUUUCAUGCCUAUUUUCAUUUGAACUCUUUUAUUUUCUUUCUUAACACAUGUGUUCAUCCAACGAUAUUUCAUAUCUAGGUGUUUAAUUCGACUUUUUGUACCUUCUCGUUCGUGUAGAUUUGAAAGAAUCCCACGUGUAAUAGACACGUGUAUUCCACCUCCACGUAGCCACGCAAUGUAACAAUAAAAAAUAAAAAACUAAUCUUCGGUAGUCUUUCCCUCUCUCCUCUUCCAUUUCACAUUCUCUCUCUUCUCCCACCCUCACGGCAUCUUCGUCUUCGUUUCCUUAUUUCUUUCCCUUUUCUACCGGUAAACCCUAGAAUUUUCAGUAAUUUCAGAAGGCGAUCUUUCCGACCGGUAAUUCUUUCGGCAAACCCUUCCCAUGGUAACGAUUCUGAUAUUCUACACUCCGAUUGCAAUGCUUUUACUUGACAUCUGCUUUCUAAUUCUUUUUUCAUCUGUUUUUGAUUUUUUGUUCCCGGAUUGCUGGAAAUCUCAUAAAUAAUUUAUAAUUCCUAUUCCUACUUACGAUUUCUGAUCCCUAAUUCUCACUGCGACAGCGGCACUCGCGAUUUCUUCUGAUCAAACGGUGAGAAAUCAGACGGAAGACUUUGCUGGAGUUCAGAAGAAGCUCGUUGAUGAUCCAUCACUCCUCAAUUUCAAGAACUCCGUCGUAAGUGUACAAUUCCUAUUUCUAUUGAUCCAUCAUCCCUCAUGAGGUUUUUUCCCUUUGGAUUUUUGUAUUUGGGCAAGUAAAUUCUUGAUUCCCACUUUUUUGUUUUAUUAUCUGUUUGAAGGGUUUUUACUACUAUUUUGAUCAUUACAGGGGUGUUACGGUCAAAAUUUUGAAGGACCUGCUGCUCCCGAUUAAAAUUCCCACUGACUGAGUGGCUAACGGUUAUUGCCACUUUCUUGUUUGAUGCAAAGAAGUAAAUAAAAAAGAAGGUAUUCUUCGAUUCUCCAAUGCUAAAGUUUUUUGUUUUGUUUUUCUAGUAUAGGAUAAUUAUUGAGGGGGUGCAAAAAUUGGAGAGCCUGCUUUGUUGCCGUAAGGUAUUUUUUGGUUAGGGUUUUGUGUCACCUUGACUAUGGACAGGGAUUGUUACAAAAAAACAUAACCAUUUGGAAUAUUUAAAUUAUUUUAUCAAGUGAUUCAACAAAAGCGUGGGGGGUCAUCUUGUUUACAUAUUUAAGUGAAAGUGAACAAAAAAAACAUCUUAUCUUUUUUCAUCUUUCAAGAUGACUCGUAUCUUGGUUCAGCGUGGAUCUUCCUCAAAUUCCAACCGAUCAUCUCAGCAAUCAACUUCACUUCAAACAUCGCAGCAACCAAAUGAAAGUGAACAGAACAGGGAGAUUUGUAAAGAACCUAGUACUUUAGAUGACCCUCUACAACAGUUUGGCAGUAGUAGAGGCAAUGUCUUGAGUGAUGAUGAGAAUCUUCCUGGCAGCCAUCCAGUUGUUGGGAUUGAUCCAGAAAAUUUUAAACAUGGUAUAGAUGAAAUCAGAGACACAGAGACACUGGUUGAUGACUUAGAUUGCUCAGUAAAGGAUCCUGAAUGUUCACUUUCUAGCUCUUCACAGGUUUUUAUUGGAGUUCGAUCUUUCCCACCACCUCCUCCUGUCCCUCCUCCUAAGCCCACUGCAACCAUACCAAUUCGGGGGAAAACAAUAUCUGGGAUCCUCAAUUCUGAUUCAAGGAGAGCAUCAGCCUGGCCUGUUAUUUCAACAAGAACUUCACCAUCAAAUUCAAAACCUUCGUCCCCCAAGUCUGUUGGAGAAGCCGAGGGCUAUAAUAGUGCAGAUGAGCAAAAUACUUGUUUUGUAUCCUCCUAUAAUGACUUGGUAAUCACUCCCCCUUUCUGUUAUAGGGAUUUGAUAAAUAUUUAAAGUUAAUUCAUAAUUGGGUUGUUUUUAUUUUUGAAAACAAACCCUGAUAAUAUAUACUUUCCAGGAGAGGGAACAUUUGUUUGAAAUUGAAAUUAAAAGAGUGAAAGGUCUUGAACUGAAACGAAUGGUUAAAGAUGGAAAUUGUUUAUUUCGUGCUGUUGCUGAUCAAAUUUAUGGUGAUGCUGAAUCAUAUGAUAUGGCUAGGCAAUUAUGCAUUGAUUACAUGGUAUUAUCAACUUUUUAUCAUGUUAUACCAGUGUAAUACUGUAGUUUUUUUACCAAUUUGUUGGACAAUUUGUCUCCAUAUUUUUGUUAUUUAAAGAUCAGUAUAUAUUAUAUACCCUUUGCAAAAACACAUAUGUAGACUUUUAUAUUUAUCAGAGGAUUUUUUUUGGCAAUGGAUUAUUAUUAUUAGAAAAUUGUAUGGUUUUUUAAUCUUUGGUUCAUUUUUUAUUCACACAGGAAAGAGAGAGAGAUCAUUUCUCUCAGUUCAUAACUGAAGGAUUUGUAUCUUAUUGCAAAAGGAAAAGACGAGACAAGGUAUUUCUACUUCAUCAUAAAAACGAGCAUAUAAAAAGAAUAUUAAAUUAUUAAUAUACAAGGUUUGGAAUGCGCCUCUGCGAGAUGCGUCACCACUAGGAGCAUUUGUGCAAAAGCAUGCCUAGGUGUGAUUUUUGCACGCUUUUGCUCCAAUGGCAUAUUUGUAAUUACAUAAAAAGGAAAAUACUAUGACAUAUUUCUUUUCUGUAAUUAGAUUAUUUAAAUAUGUAUUUUUUUAUAUCUAGGGUGGAAGAGGGCACUAGGGUGUGGUUUGCGAUUCAGACAGAAUUAAAUUAGGGCAGAUCCGGAUAGGAUCCACCUGAAUCCAACCUGGAUUUGCCUAAGGGUGAUGUGCCUUCCCUUUGGGGCGCACAUGUACAUCCCAAUCUUUGUUAAUAUACUAAAUUACUAAUACGGUUUGAAAAUAGGUUAAGGUGUUUUACAAUCACCCUUUCAAGUUUGAAGUGCCAUAAUACAAACUUUUUGUUUGACUAUUAUGUGCUCUUUGAAGUGUUGAACUCGUUCCAGUUUAUCAUGAUAACGAUGAAUAGUUAUGACUUGAAAUAUCACACGAUCAGAUAAUACUGCAUGGCAUGUUGUCUGUCGUAUUUGAACCCCAAUCUCUUGUAUCAAAUAAAAAAAAUUAAAACCCUCAUUGCUGUAUUAGACUAUUAGGUGUUGCAAACAAUUUUUAAAAGUGUUUAUACGGAUUCAACUAAACUGAAUUUAUGCAGCUAAUUUUGUAUUCUUUCAUUAUCUAGCUGUCAAGCUGAUGUUUCUAAUUUCUCUCGUAUUAUCUUGUAAAAUACUAAAAUGGUUUAUAUUGUAUAUUUGUAUCUUUAGGUGUAUGGAAAUAAUGUGGAGAUACAAGUGUUUUCUGAGAUGUACAACCGCCCCAUUCAUAUAUACUCUUAUUCCACAGGUUUGAACAGUAUUUUUUGUUGGGUAGAGUAUUAAUUAAUUAAUUGAUGACUUAAAUUACUUAAUAACAUAUCAAUGCAGAACCUAUCAAUAUUUUCCAUGGGACUUAUAGAACUGACACACCGCCACUGCGUCUAAGCUAUCAUCAUGGAAAUCAUUAUAAUUCUCUCUUUGAUCCUCGUCGGUUAUCAAUCGGUGCUGGUCUAGGACUUAGCAGCCUUCAAGGGGUAAGCAAAAUAUUUAAAUUUGUUUGCAAAGCCUUGAAAUUAAUAUCUUGUUACAAUCCAUAUUUUAUUAUUUUGUAGGCAAACAUUGGGAAAGAUCAAGUGAAGGCUGCUAUUAAAGCUCAGCAAGAUCAACAAAUUGAUAAUGUAAGUAAUUUUGUUGGGACUGAUUCAAUCUGAUUGUGUUGUGGGUAAAAGAGUCUUACAUUUAAAUGAGAUGGUUGGUGACGUGUGCAGGCUCUUUUGGCUGAAGGUCGUUUCUAUUCAGAUUUGGAGUAUACUGAGACAGAAAUAGAGCAAAUGGUAAUUGAAGCUUCUCGUAUUGAAUAUCUUGAAGAGCAAAAAUUCAAACAACAGCAGCAGCUUGAUCCCAGUGAAUCCUCCACAUCAAUUUCAGAGCCAUCAUCUUCUGGAAAAGGCAUGAUGAUUUUCUUUUCACAACCUCUGUAAUUGCCAAUAAUUAGUGAAUUGCUAAAUCUGUGUUUGGGUUUUUUCUACACCACAGGUACAGGAGUAGAGCAGAGUAUAGUAAAUUCGGAGAGUCGAAACAACACAACGAUCUUACCAAAUGCUUUGCAAAACAAAAGCUUGCAAGUGAUGCUUUCAAUGGGGUUCAGUUAUUUACAAGCCUCUGAAGCGUACGACAUAUUUGGUGAUGAUGUAGACUCCAUGAUCUGUUAUCUUCUUGACAUCAGAGGCAAAUCUGGCAAUAAAAACUCGAGACAAAAAGGCAAGGCAGCUGAAUGAGCGGUUUCAAGUUUGAAUGAGUAGUUUUUUUUUACAUUUCAACAACUCAAGUGAAAUAAGACUUUGUAAAACUUUCAACUUUAAAAGGUUUUGUCCAAUGUUUGCUUGGAAAUUGGAAUGAAUGAACCCACUCACCACCCUCCAAUUAUGAUGUUAAGAUUUUAAAAUGAAACUGAUUUUUAUUAGACAACUAUUAUAACUGAAUCAGUUUCCUUAACAGUUAACAUCCUAAACCCUUUUUCACAUUGAUAAGGCGUGACCAUUGAUAUAAGAGAUAGCAACUGCAGCAUGCAUAGCUGCUCCUAUAGGAAGAACAUGUUCAUCAAGGAUGAAGUGCGGUGAGUGAAGGGAUUUCGAAGGACCAAGUGUCUCAUUUGCGAUCCCAAUCCAAAACAUUGCACUUGGCAUUCUCUGAGAAUAGAAUCCAAAAUCUUCGGCUCCCAUAAUCACUGGGGCAGCCUUUACAUUGUCUUGACCAAGAAGACCCUCGCCUACGAUUUUAGCAUGCUUAUACAUAUCAUCACUGUUCACGGUUGUUGGAUAUGGUCUUUCUCCGAAUUCUACCAAAGCCGUGCAUCUAUGAACAUUUGCCUGCAUCUCAAUAACCUGUUGAAGAAAAAAACAUAGUUUGGUUGAUCAAACAUCUAAAGAAAGCUUUUAUUGAUCUGCUUGCUACCUCUUGGACCCUUUUUGAAAGUUGGUGCAGUCCUUCAGUUGUUAAGCUCCUCAGGGUGCCUCCAAAAGUAACUGAACUUGGGAUUAUAUUAUGUGCUUUUGUUCCACCAUCUACAUAAGCAACAGAAACCACCUGUGAAAGAAAAAAUUGAAUUUUGAAAUUUGAUAGUGAGUGCUUAGCUUGACCACUUAAGCUAGCUUACUUUGCUCUCAAGAGGAUCAGUCUCUCUAGAAACUAACUGUUGAAGACUUUGGAUUAUGAAUGAGACAGCCAGAAUUGGAUCUUUAGUAGUGUGUGGUGAUGCAGCAUGACCACCUUGCCCUGUUAUUGUGGCAAAAAACCUUUGUGAAGCAGCAAAAACAGGGCCAGAUUUGGUGCCUAGAAUACCAGUUGGGGCAUGAGGAUCAACAUGCAUCCCAAAAAUGGCCUCAACAUUGUCUAAAUGUCCCUCUUUCAAUAGAUAUGAUGCACCAGCAAAACCCUCUUCUCCUGGUUGAAAAACGAGCUUCACUGUACCCUUGGGGUAAAAAAAAUUAACAAUGAUGAGGUCAAAAUCUGAUCAAACAAACAACGUAAUUAAUUGGUUGAUUUUGUAAUCACCGAUUACCUUCAACUCAUCCUUUUGAUUCUGAAGUAAUUUGGCAGCACCCAGAAGCAUCGUUACAUGAGCGUCGUGACCGCAGGCAUGCAUCUUUCCAUCAACCUUGCUCUUGUACUCCCAGUCUACCAUCUCCUGUCAAAAUACCAAACACCUUGUGGAAUUGAAAUGAUCAUCAAUCAUUAUGAAAAACAACGAGAAAUCUCAAGAUACCUGCAAAGGGAGAGCAUCCAUGUCGGCCCUGAGAGAGAAGAUAGGUUUCUCACCGGACCCAAUUGUGGCAAUAACUCCAGUCUUGGCAACGGGAUAAACGUAGCGAAUACCAAGACUAUCGAGCUCAUCUCUUAUCAACUGGUUCGUUUUGAUCUCCUCGAAUCCCAGUUCUGGGUACUGGUGGAUCCUCCUCCUCACUCCUUUUAACCACUCAAAGAACUCCGGUUCUUUGGCGGAUUCUAAGAGACUUCUUCCCAGAAAUUUUAUAUGGGGUUGGGUCUCUUCCGACGAGGUUGAUGCCUGGAUGCUGAUCGUGACGGUGAGGAAGAGCGACACCACGAUGGCAUUUCGAAGUUGAGCCAUCAAGCAAGCGACACCACUACCAUCUACCACAGUUUACCACUUUUAUUCAGAUUCUUUUCGCCUUUUAUUAAUUAUUAUAAAUUGAUAAUCGCCACGUCAGCUUAUCCACUCAUUGGACUACUCAUUGAGAUUGAGUCCAUUUAUUUGGGCCUAUGUGGGCUUUUUAGAGUCUUAAAAUUCGGUCUGGUAUAUAAAAACCCUAGAGAGAAUCGAUACACACAACAUCACCACCACCCACUUCUGGUAUUCUGGAGUUCUAUUGGGGGUGAGCUCCACUCAAGUCGCGGUCGGCAACAAUGGCGGCGAGAAUUGUAACACAAUUCCGUUCAAAACCACUUCUUCCAUUUCUCAUACAUCUCUCCUCCGCCACCGCCAUUGUACGCGCAAUCUCUACCCAAACUUAUCUCUGUCAGGAAUCCCAAAUCCACGACAAAGCGUCUCCUCUACCCCCAAAUCCGUCUACAGGUAGUCCGCUUUAUCAAGAAAACUGGCGUAGCCCUAUCCCAUCAGGACAAGGGCAUCAAUCUCUCGUCUCGACGAGCCCUGCUUUCUCAGUUCCAACCGUGUCUUUGUCUGCGAGUAUUUUGGAUGACGCCCGGACCCCGGAUGUUUCUACUUUGAUGAAUCUUUUUGCCGAUUGGAUGACGUCGCAACGGUGGCUUGAUAUGAAGCAGUUGUUCGAGUCUUGGAUUAGGUCCUUGGAUGCGUCUGGCAAACCGAAUAAGCCUGAUGUUAGUCUAUACAAUCAUUAUCUUAGGGCUAAUCUCAUGUUGGGAGCUACUGCGGCCGAUCUUUUGGAUCUUGUUGCACGGAUGGAAGAUUAUCAGAUUACUCCCAACGCCGCUUCUUUUAAUCUCGUUCUCAAGUCUAUGUGCCAGGCUAGGGAAAGUGAUGCUGCUGAAAAGCUUUUGGAUAGGUAUAUUGGAUUUGUAAAAUGCUUGUUUUUUUAUGGAUUCAUUGUAUUGUUGUUCUUAGUUGUUAGUUUCAUGGUAUUUUUUAAUUGCUGCUUCAAUUCUUUGUUUUGUUUGAUCACUUGAUCACGAUUUGUUCAAAAAUAUCGAGGGAAAAAAAUGAAAAUAUAAAUGUAGAAGUCCAUGAAAAUCGGAACAACAAACAAACUUCAAAUUUAUUGUUUUGGAAUCGUUGUUUUAUUUUAUUUUUUGUAUAUACUUUAAGUUAGUUUGUAAAUCGAGAUGUUUUUUGUCUGGACUGUUUAGUCAAAUUCAACCUGACUCGAUCUUAAAUUCUUAAUUAUUACCUCAUCUUUUUUGGAAAUUAAUUUAUUGUUUUUACCUUUUACUGAGACAUUUGUAUUCCUCCUAAAUAAUAUAAAAUUUCCUGUCAUAAAAAGAUUCAAGCCUCCAACUUCAAGCCCCCUGUGAAUCUUUCCAGGAUGUAGAUUCUGAGGUUAUUUCUCACAUGUUUGAGACUCUCAGAAUUCUCUUGUAAUGAUCCUGGGAGCAGAAUUACGUCAGUGGACGGUUUUCUAUCUUUAAUAACAUAAAUAUCUGGUAUUUCAUUUCUACUUUGCAAAGUUAAUUGAUUUAAUAUUUAAAUCAUGAUUUGUUAGCUUUUUGAUGAAUUUAUCUUUUUUUGUUACACUCCAAUGUUGUAUGGUACUUUAGUUAUGUUUAUAAUUUUAUACCAGGAUGCUACAGAAGGGAUCUACUACUUUGCCAGAUGAUGAGUCAUAUAACUUAGUCAUUAACCUGCUUUUCUCAGAAGAUCAAGUUGAUGGUGCAUUGAAAUUUUUGGAUUUGAUGUUAAAAUCUGGCUACAUGUUGUCAACCAGUGUGUUUUCAGUUUGUGCAAAGGCGUGUAUAAAAGAAGGCCGUCUAGAUACAUUGACAUCUAUCAUUGAGAAGUGUAAGGUAAAUCAUACAAUUUAAGUCUUAUACACUUGGGGGAUGGGUCUCUUUACGAUUUGUGCAAAGGCUUGUGUAAAAGUAGGUUGUAUAGAUACAUUUACCGAUUGAUAUUCAUCAUAAAGAAGUGCAGGGGCUCAUGUCCCUGGUUAACUCGUCUAUAUUUUUUUAAUAAUAAAUAAAUAUACCUGUUACAAUUAGAGUAAUUGACAUGUCAAAUCUUCUAAGGGCUUGUGUCCAGUUGUGUUUGAUGGAAAGCAUUGUAAAUCCAGAGAAACCAACCAGACGGGAUUAUCAGGCCCUAAACAGAGUGUCAGAACUUUGGAAUGAGACUUGGGUAUGUAAAGAUGAGGGAAUAACUUAUCUGAGAUUCUGAACAGAGGAAAGAUUUCUACUUGCUAGUGACCUAAGCUUGCUGUUUGCUACUUGUACCCAAGCUUUUAAAUGCGCGAUUGCUCUGUGUUACAGACCUAGCGCACUGCUUCUUUAGCGUGCCUUAGCAUUUUCAUAAUUAAAUAAAAAUACUCUAAAUUUCAUAUAUUUUUAGAAUUUAUAUACUAUAAAAUAUAAAUACGAUAAUAGUAUGAUACUAAUACAAAAUACCUAAAUACUUAAAAUCUAAGCAUCCUUCGUGUACUUAUACAACCAAAUAUGCUAUAACAAAAUCAUUGGGGAAGAUUUGUGGGUGUUCUUGGAAAAAAUAUAUGAAAGAGCCCUAAUAUCUAAAAAAAGACUUCGAUCAGAUCUAGGUCCAAUCAGAACAGAUAGCGUGUGCGUUUUAGAACCAUGCUUGUAGCGUUGUUGGAAUUAGAGAAAUGCUGAACAAAAGUUUUUAACCAUACCCUAGGUCACAUGAGAAAGGGGUUUCUAUACCAGUAUAUCCUUUGUUUAGAUUUUCCUUAUUUGAUUAUUCAGGACUUCAGGAUGACCUGUCCUGAUAAAUUCUGAAUAUCUGCCUAUCGCUGACUUGUGGAAAUGUGGAAUUAUUCAAACUUCUUUACUUAGAUUUUCAUUAAUCAACGUUUUUUAAAUUUUUGGAGGAAGUGGUUUGAUUGAACUCUCUUAUCAUUGAACUUAAUUUUUAAUGGCCUUAAAAUCUAUACCAGUUUGACCAGUCAACCCUCUUCCAUUGUUUAAGCAUUCGUUUUUAAACCAUGAGGGUAUGCAUAACGUAAUAUCAUUUGAAAUUUAGAGUACUAUCUAAUCUUUGUUUAUUUGCAGACAAUGGAUCAGAACAAAGCGCUCUGUCCAAACUGGAAUCUGAGCAAUGUAGUUCUUGAUUUUGCUCUUCGAGCAGAUCAUAGCAAAUUAGCUUAUUUGUGCUUUGAAUUCUUGGCUCGUUGGAUGGCUCGUGGUGAGGCUGCUAGACCGCCUGUAUUACUUUCUGUAGAUGAAGGGUUUGUUGUUUCAGCACUUAGUGUUGCUGCUAGAACAUAUGAUUCCACACUCUUGGAUGCUUCAUGGGCCAUUCUGCGGCGUUCCUUACGACAAAAAAGACAACCAAACCCAGAAUCGUACCUUGGAAAGAUACAUGCAUUAUCAUCAUUAGGGAAUCUGCAACGAGCUUUUAGCACUCUUAAUGAGUUUGAGAGUGUAUAUGGUGAUUCACCAGAUGCCGAAGAACUUUUCUCUCCAUUUACCUCUUUGCAUCCUUUGGUUGUUUCUUGCUGUAAAAAUGGGUUUGCUACAUUGGAUACGGUAUAUCUAUUACACUCUUCUUUCUUUUCAUCUUCCCAUCAAAAUUGAUUUCAUCCUUCAAUCAAGUUAUGUGCAUGGCUGUCAGGUGUAUUUUCAAUUAGAAGGUUUGAGCAAAGCUGAUCCUCCUUAUAAGUCAGUUGCCGCCCUUAACUGUGUGAUAUUAGGUUCUGCUAACAUAUGGGACCUUGAGCGGUCUUAUGAGACAUUUGAAUCUAUUGAAAAAGCUUUUGGUUUGGUUCCUGAUGUUCAUUCUUAUAAUGCACUUAUUAGUGCAUUUGGAAAACACCGGAAGGUCUGUUUCUUCUUAUAUCCCACCUGUGUAUUGGUUAAUGACUUCUGCCGUGCCAUCUUAACGUCUAUAUAUUUGUUUUCCAGACAGACGAAGCUUCAAAGGUUUUCGAUCAUUUAACAAGUCUUGGCGUAAAACCAAAUGCGACAACAUAUUCACUGCUUGCUGGUGCACAUCUUAUUAAUCGUGAUCAAAAAGCUUCCCUCACUGUGAUUGAUGACAUGGUAAAUAACAAAAUAAUGAAGAGGACAUAUAUUUUUCUUCUAAUUAGAAUAUCAAGUAAUAAAUUUUUUGUAUGUUUUGACAGGUGAAUGCUGGGUAUGUUCCUUCCAAAGAUUUACUGUCAAAAGUUGAACGGCGGUGUUGUAGAGAAUCAGAUUUAGAUGGUAGAGGUAAGGUCCAGUCGUUACUGAGGGAGUUUAAGUACAGGUUGACUGGUGAAGGCCGCAAAGAUCAACUUUUCAACCUUCAAUAUACCACAGAAUACGCUUAGCCUGGUAAGCUUGAUUAAGUCUUAGUUUAAAACGUUUUAGUUUAAAACUGAUUAGCUUCAACCUUUGGCAGUAUCACCUGUAGCAUUUGCAUCAUGGUUUUUUUUCUUUGUAUUUUGUUUUGGGCAGAAUAGUUGGUUCUUGAAUAACGAAAAAUGCAAAGUCCAAUCUUCUUCAUUCUUGUAAUAUAUCCCAUCUUCUUUUGUUCUGAUUUUAAUCUUUUAAUUGGUUCACUUUAUUUUAAUCUUUUUACCAUUGUCUAGCAAAAGUUGUUGAAUUUUGUAGUUUUGGCUUACAUGGCUUGGAGAUAUGAAAUUGUACUAUAAAAUCCAAUCCAGUUAAGUUAAAUUAUGGUAUUAUUUAUAUAGAGAUGGAAGAAUAAGCAUUGAUAAUUAGAUUUUUGUAACUCUAAAUAUCUUGAUGUUUAUUUGAUUAUUAAAUUAUCAGUUCUGAGUAAUUUACUAAUUUACAAGCUUGAAUAGUCGCGUAAAUACGUUGUUGGUCUUAAAUUAUUUAAAUUAGUAAUUAUUUAGAAUCUAGAAUCUAGCAUUGUUUAUUAUUAUAUUAUACGGCGUGGACGCGGAGUGGUUAGAAUUUUCAAAUUCCAAUAUGAACAAUUUAAAUUAAGUAAAUACGGCGGCGAUCGUUUAAUUUAUACAUACUAAACUUAUUAAUCUUGUCUUUAGAUCAAUCAAAUUAGAGAACAGGAGAAUUCAUGAAUUAUGAGUAUCCAACUUAUGCAAGUUAUUCCGUCGUGGCGCGGCGCGGCGCAGCGCAUCUAAAUAUCUAAUUAUGCAUAUUAAAUUGAAUUUAUUUAAAAGAAAUUCCUCGGGUUAAUUUCGGUCAAGAGUUAUUAUUUUGGUCAAUUUCUAAAAUGUACAAUUUCUUUUCAAACCACUCACAUUAGUCAUAUACUCGUAUUAAUUAUAAAGAAUAUUGACUGAUAUUUUUUGCCAGUCUUAAAAAAAGACUAGAGGUGGGUUUUUCAGUAAUGGUGCUAGUUUGAUUCGAAACAAAUCAGACAACUCAACCACUAAAGAUCAGAAUUCUCAUUCUACAGAGGCUAGAGCUACCGUGUCAAACAAACGGGGGGAGGUGGUUGUCACAGCGCUGGUGUGUUGUUGCAGAUCGACGAUUACGGAUUCAUCGCUAGGUGGGAUGCUCAGUGAGUCUUUUUUUUCUUCUUCCGAUCGAAUUCCGAUCUUAAUCGUCUUUUUUUCAGUUGAUUUGAUUUUUCUACCUUUGAAAACGAGUUUUCUCUCUCCCGAGUUUACGAAUUGGGGAUUGGGACAUAAGUGCAUAACUAGGUUUAUUUUGUAGGAAUAUUGGAGAGGAUUGGGAUUUUAUUUUAUUUUGUGAUUUACCAUUUUUCGGAUGUUGGUUUUUUACUCAUCUGUUUUAUUAGCUUUUGGUUGGGCAGGUUUUGGGAGAACUGCAUACGAUGAAUUCAAGGCCAAUGGUUCUAGUUUUCCUACUUCUUAUACUCAUAAUAACUUCCCAGUUCGAAUGGAAGCAGCGAUUAGUCGGUGAGUUGGAUGUAGGCUUGGAUGUCUCACCAAAGGAGCAGAAUUUGGCGGAGAAAGAACAUGUGGUCAAGGAAAAAGUAUGUUAAGUGAUUUUUUUUUCUUAUUUCAUAUUAAAUGUUUGACAACAUUGCAUGAUCCAUACUAGAUUUUUACUAGCCAGCAUCAGUAUGUUGGGAGGAAGUAGUUCAAAUGAGCUCUCUUCUCAUUACCCAUUAUGAAUUUACCAUUCCACGCUGUCCUGAACCCUGAAUGUAUCUUUAACAUUGAAGACAAACAUCAUUCCUAAUGGCAUUAGACGCUAUACCAUUUUUUUUUAUCCGACCAUAAAAUCAAAGUCAAGUGGUCGGAAAAGUGGGGGGGUUCAAUUUCAUAAAAUAGUUGUAAUUAUCUAUAAAUUACAGAAUUCAAUAUAAAUAUGACCAUUAAUAAAUACAAAAAUUUCAAAAUAAAUUAAAACUGAAGUUCUAUAUAUAAGAGUUCUAAUGGAGUUCAAAGUUCAAACAGAAUUGAAAAUAGAUAGAUCAAUCAUCAAAAACAUGGUGGGUACAAGUGUGUAACAAGGAAGAAAACUUGGAGCAAGUCUUGACGAUGGAGAAAAGUUAAGUUUUACAGCUUUACUUUUUUCGAAUUUAUAGUUUUUAUUUAAUUCAUUAAAUGCAAUAAAUAAACUUAUGGGCUACCCUAAACCCGUAAUCCAUCCUAUGGCUCACAAAUCAGUGCGUAGCAUAGGUACUUAGGUAAUCGCAUGGAACCCUUGAAGCACGUCAAAAACUAUGGGUAUUUUAACUGGAUCAAGAACUUGUGUCUUAAAUGGAAUGCAGCUUUGAGAAAAAGAUUUUCAGAUUAAGUUCUAUUCAUAAUAUGAUUUAUGAAAGAUAUUUAAGUUGUGCACUGAUAUCUUGUUCAGAUUUAGAAGGAUGGUUCAUUCUAGUUAUGGUAUCGCAACGGUCGGACCUGAAAGCAUCGUUAGGAAAAUUAAUUUUCAGAUCAGAAAUAAAAAUAGCCAUUGUCGUAUUCUUCAGGAGGGUUUCAAUGAAGCAUACCCUCUGAUUUUUUUUGCAUGUUCAGUAAUGUGUUUUAUAGUUCAAAUGUGUUUAGCAUGUUUAAGACAUCCUUCGCUGCUAUAUAAAUACAAGUAAGAUGACUGAAUAUUUAAUAAGAUUACAUUGAAUUUCUGACAUAACCAAUAAUUGAUGAUUCACUAAGAGUAGGAGAUAGCCUAUAUGACUAAUAUGAGUAAAAUAAAUCCACUUCCCUACUUAUCUUAAUUCAACUCCAAGUCACUGGCACAAACAGUGUUUUAUGAGUAUAUUUUUUUAUGUUGUUUGUUGAUUGUGAAACAAUGAUAGAAACAACAUCCGGUCACUAAUUUAAAAUGAUUUGGAAUACACUUAUAUAAGCACCUUAGUCCUCUUUUAUAUGUAUACAAUUACAUUUUUUUAAGCCAUGAAUAAAAUAUAUUUACGUACCUUUAUCUUGAUUAAUUUUUAGAAAUCAGAAGUAAUUUGUUUUGCUAAUUGGUAAAUGGUAGAAAUCAUAUAAAAAAUUUGUUUUAAUUGGUAAUUACCUCCAUGACUCAUCUAGACGAGAAUGUUUUGUUUGCUUGAAGAUAGACACACACUUAUAUGUUUUAAAGCUUAAGUUUGCUGCAUUUUCUCUUAAUUAUGCAGAUAAUCUUGAUUCAAGAAAACGAAAUCCAGCAACUUAAUGAGAAUUUGCGCAGUCUUCGACUACAGCUAGAGCAAUGCCAAAAGGCUGGAUUCCUGAAUGAGACACUAAGUGUGAUUCCUGAUGGCAAUGAAAAACAAGAUAUUCCAGCAGACUGAUGUAUAAGAACAUGAAUAUCAAAUGUAUAUGUAUAUUCACAUUUUCUGUCCAAGCUUCCAGCUGAAUGAAAAUCUCAACCCCAACCCCCUCAUUCAUGUAACUGCAAGUCUGCAGUUUUGGGCAAUAACUUGAAAUCAGCUGAAGCAGAAAUAUCUUUUGACAGAUUUUACUGUAUCAAUUUUCAGAAACUUUAUAAGAUAUGGCGAUGAUGUUUUUAAAGUAUGGUAUCCGGUUAGUUGGUUGUAUGGUAUCCAUUUAUCUAAUCUUUAGAAGAUAGUAAAGUCUGCAGAUUCAAGUGGAUUGAUUACUAGCUAGCUUGGAUCCAUUUACUUCCCUCUGCUCCUAGAUAUUUGAAUUCACAGGUCAUGAACAGCCUGUUCUCAUGCAAAUGCAUGGUCUUGUUUGACUAAGCCAUCAUCAAUCCAUCUCAUUAUGGUCUUGAUAAGCUCAAUUUUUUUAUUACAAUUUAUAACCCAGCAGCCUGCACCAGUCUUUUUUUUUUAAGUAUAUACAACCAAGCUUCUUUGACAACAGUUUUAAAGAACAGUAAUGCAAGCUUUUGUCCAUUCAAAAUCUUUACAGAAUUGAAAGACUUGAAUGCACAAAUCUUUCAAAUGAAUGCCUGUAAUUAAACAAGAUGCUCCACGUACUGUGCUGGAUUGAAGUGACUGAUUCCUAUAUAAUUAAACUUCAUUAAUUUUCCUUUAAAACCCCCCUUUGUGUCAUAACUCAUAACCUUGUGACAAACACAUGCAUCCAUCCAUUCAAAGACAAUCCAUAUGUCAAGGAAGUUAUUUUACGUUUGAUCCUGACCGCAUAUCCUGAUGCUUCAUCAUCUCUCGCUCUAGCUGCAACUUAUUAUGGGGUGUUUAAAUGGCGCAUUGAAAGAUGUCAUUGGAAAUUGGUAUCAUCCGUCCGAUGAUGCAUGCAAUUGAUAUAAUUAGACCAUAAGAGGGAGGGGUCUUUCGGGACGGGCAGUGGUGCUUUAAAACCUAGCUAGCUAGCAAAGCUCUUGAAUGUGUUUUUAAGAUCGAGAUGGAGUAAGAAGAAAUUGAAUGAAUCAUAUGGCUGGCUGGCAACAGCAAAUAUUGAUAUCAACCCCGCCCAGCCAUGUGUUAAUGACUGCAUUUGAUUGCUCACCUGCUGCUCGCUGCUUUUUUCUUUUAUUUUCUUACCAUCUCAUUCAUUAUUAUUCAAUACAAUACAAUACAAUUCAAUUCAAUAUCCCUUCAUUCAUCAUUCAUUGACAUCAUUAAACACGUCUUCUGUCAUUCAGUCCUUCAUGUCAUAUUCAGAUUCCUUGCAUAUACAUAUAGAACUAAUUUCAGGUGCGUCAAAUCUUACAUGUGUUAAAAUACACCUGAAGAUCAUAAUCCGUCGACUGACAAUGCAUUAUUCAUCAACAAUUAAACUCUGUACAACGAAUUGUACGUUGUAUGUUACAUUAUCCUCGAGUUAUAUUCGUUACCGUAUUACGAGUUAUAUGACGCAUUUUGACACACUCAAUUUUGACCGCUUAUACAUAUAAACCCUAGUUGCGUUGUGUUGCCAACAUAUAAUCAAAUUAUAAUCAGGUAAAUUGAAGAUUAGAAGAAGGAGAAGAAAACGAAUGAAUGAUGAUUCAUGGAUGGAAUAAGAUUUAAGAUAGUUUGAAAUUUUGCACAAAGAUCCCCAAAAUUAAGUCUUAUUACCAAUUAAAAAUCGAAUCUUAUAUUAUAUUUGAGUGUGACAAAUAAUUAUUUAAUUAAGGGUCCCUCCUAUUUAAUUAAUUAAUUAAUUUAAGACAACCAAACCUAUUACCUAUAUUUCAAUUCUAGUUUAUAGAAUUGUAAUAUGACAUGACAUGAGAAAUAGGAAUAUUAACAUGGUCGAUAAAUUGACAAUUGAUCAUUCCAUUUUAUUAAUUUAAUUCUAAUUUUCUAUACUUAAUUCCAUAAUUAAUAUCAUUUACAUGAAUGGCGCGCAAAACGAAUCUUAAUUGAUAAUAGUUAUAUAUAAAAAUACCAAGGGAAAGAAGUGAUCGAGAAGUAGAUGCAAAACCAUGUGGAAUCAUUAAUUAAGACGUAAUUAACACAUUACAUUUUAAAUUAACUAUCAUUUACGAAUUCAUUUAACUAAUCACCAUAUAAUUAAAUUAAAUUAAAUUAAAUUAAAUUAAAUUAUAUAUCGGGUUGGAUUCAUGUGACCUUUAUUUAUUUUAUUAUGAGAUUAAUAGAUUAUAACAAAAUUCAAUUUCAAUGAAAUCUUAUAUUUCAAUAAAAAUUUAAGAAAAAUGAGAGAAUUUAAUGGAGAGUGUUCAUAAAAUAUGUGCAUUGACAAUUUGGUAUUCACAUGGAUGAAAGUGGAACCAUCAAUGCAAUGUAAUUUUUUAUUAUUAUUUGAUAUAUUUCAUCCUACCGUUGGUAUCUGAUCCAUCGGUUGAUAAUUAUUGAAGUAUUAUAUAUAUUUUUAUUUUUUUUAAAAAAGUAGUGUCUUAAUUAAAGACAUUCAAUGUCAUUUACUUGCUUAGUUAAGAUUGUUUGGAAGCAUUAUGGGCAAUAAAUCCAUUUUCUGACAGAAUAGUGAAUCAAUCAAUGAAUAUAAAUUUUUUAUAUUCCAGUUGUAUAUAAACUUAUCUUCUACAUUUUAAUAAUUAAUCUUUUUUUCUUGCCUAAAAUAAAAUUCAUCUCCAUUUCAAUUUUUCAUAGAAAGAAACUUUUAAAGUAUAGUUUCUGAGAUUCAAGGUUCGAAUCUUACUUUGUAUAUUUUUAUUUAAUCUACCUAAUAAUAUAUUAUAUGACUCUAGUAUAUCAUCCGGAAGUUGACAGCUCUACAUCUGUGGAGAAAUACCAUCUAUUAUAAAAAAAAAAUCAUAUUCAAAUUAAAAUUUCAUUUUUUUCAACAACCAUCAUUUAUUAUCAUUUAUAUAUCCAUUAACUCAAUCAUUAAUAAAUAAAUAAAUAAAUAAAUAAACAAAUUUCAAUCAGAUUAAAGUACAUACAUAUAUUGAUAUUCAAAUCCUGAAUUUUAAUAAUGACAUUUAGUACCAACUGAGAUAAUCGAAUUAGGGUUAAUGGUAACCCUUAUGUCAACUUCGUAUCUCUCUCUCUGUGUCCCCCACAGCUCCUAAACUCAAUUCUCCAUUGAAUCCACCUCCUCAACAGCAUGGUAUCAAUAAUGAUAAUACAACAGUCAGAAGAGAAUUUAUAUACGAAAUAGAGUGUGGUAGUAUGUAUAGUAGAGAGAAGAAGCUCAAAAUUCAAUUUAAUAUACUCACUUCUCCUCCAUCCAACUUUAUUUCCUUCCCUUCUUUAUAUAAUGCAACCGCUCAUCUCCCCUCCCAAAAACCCAUAUCUAAUUACAUCUUUCCUCUCCACUUCUUCCUCUGACUCUGAUACCAGAAGGUUUCAUGUUCUUCUUCUUCUCUUUUGGGCUUGCUCUGUUUUUUUUUUCUUUUCUUCCUCCUCUAUGAUUUGAUUUGAUUUGUUUUGUUUUGUUUGUGUGUAUUUUUGGCAGACAAACAGAGGAAGACGCAAAAAUACAGACACUUGACACUUUUUUUUGAAUAUAAAAAGGAAAGAAAGAAAACAGAGAGAGAGACAAUGAGCAGAAACAGUGGGAAGAAUCCAAGAUUUGAUUUGAAGCUUGACUUAUCAAGGAACCACCGAAGGAACCCAACAACAACAAUAACGAUGAAUUCUCCUAACCGGUCUUCGACGUCGUCUUCUUCAUCGUCUUCCCCGCCGAGUUCUUGCGUUUCGUCGGAGUCGGAACAGGAGAGGUAUGUUAGCAGUUCGGAAACAACUUCCAUGGUUCUUGUCGGAUGUCCAAGGUGUCUUAUGUACGUUAUGUUAUCUGAAGAUGAUCCCAAGUGUCCCAAGUGUAAGAGCACCGUUCUUCUUGACUUCAAUCAUCCCAACAACACAGGUAAGACAACCAGAAACUGAACCAGAGACCUGAUAGAACGAACUCAGACUAUCUACCCUACCUAUCUACCUAUCAUUUCUUAACAAUCCAUGGAUUGACCUCGUUAUUGUGUGUUUGUAAUGUGUAGAUGGGCAAUCGAGCAUGCUUAGUUUUUCUCAUCUUUAAAAAAAAACUAAGAAUGCAGAUGGGCAAACCCCAGCAUGCUCUGAUUUUCCCAUCAUCAAUUUAAUUUUUAUUCAUGCUAUAUAUGUUUUUCUUCCUCUGUUCUUACCCAAUCGUCAAUUACCAUUGAUGUCUGCUGUAUUUCACCAAUCCCUCGCUCCAUUAUACCGAUCUCACCAAAUGGCUUUGAUACAUACAUACAUACAUACCUCUGUUUCUUCAUAAAAGAUUGGUUCUAUUUUUAGGUUAAUUGAAAUCAUAAUGUUAUUUUUGGGGACGAUUUCUUAAAGAAAUAGAUUACCAACAAAACAGAGUAGGAGGGGUAUUAUUUUAAUAAAACUACGUUUGGAGGAUAUCUAUGAAAAUUAUCUCAAGUUUCCCCAACUUUGUAUUUACAACUCUAUCAACACUCCUCCCUCCUUCCUUCUUUCCAUGCAACCUUUUUGGGUGGAGCAAGUAUGCCGGCGCCACAAGAGUAGGAGCCUAUUGUUCAAAUCCGAUCAUUGUCGAUGGUUUGAUUCACCGAUCGUCCGUAUACUACAAGGAACUCCGACCGAAAGACAUAUACCUUUUGUUAAAAGCAAAUGUCGAGUCUUUGAAUAUCAUCCAAGGCGGCUCACUCUUUCUGAUUCCCAAAGCAAUCUUCCCCGUUUCAAAAGUUCAUAUGAGAAUCCAUUGCGCAUAUGUUGAAGUAUGAAGGAAUUGACUUUGACAAGAACCAACAGUGUGGGAUCGAUUCAGAUAAUUUCGCCAAUGUGAAUUGGAUCACACAUUCCAUACCUCCUAUGACUUCAGCUACUUGAUCGAGAUACCGGUUGCAUCGACGGUUGCCUGUCAUCUUCGACGACAAAGUUUACGACAUGAAGCAUCUGAUGAGAUUCUGCCCCAAUCUAUAUUCUGCGUUGCAGGUGGACAGAGUGGUCUGAAUAUCAUCAUGUUUGAUUUAAUUAAAUUCACAUUUUUUUAUAAGGUACAUAAGUAAAUAAAAAUUAAAGUAAUUCUAGACCUUCGUCCUUCUGGGAAUAUUUUAAAGGUAUGACAUGAAGCAGGAUGGUUAUGACUAAGGAGGACGGGGGGCUAGGUUUGGCGGAUCCGGUGCUACUCGCAAGAGUUGCUAGGGUCAAAUGGGCACAUAGAAUCUGAAAUGAGAGUUCUCUUUGGGCGGUUUAGAUGCGGGCACGAUAUUCUAAAGGGAGAGAGUUGGCUGAUAUAUCCAAACUCACCUCAAAGAUUCCCCGAUCUGGUCUAGCAUUCUGAGAGUCAAAGAGAAUAUCGAACUAUGCUUUUUUGUAGGGCUGGAUCGCUCAGACAGUGGAAGUAUAAAAUCGAGCUUUAUAAGAGCAAAAUUAUCACCGACAACCAUCUUUGACCCUCUGGUCGUUGGAGUGUGGACAUGUCAUACUUCUAAGAUGACCUUCUGCUUAUGGAGAUUGAGAUGGGGAAAGCUAAGAACAUUCGAUAAAUUGAGAAAUUGGGGGUAGUGGUGCCGGCAAAGUGUCUUAUGCGACGCAACUGAGAAAACGAACAUCCCACCUAUUUUUCAAUUGCGACUUCAGCUGGACUCUUUGGAAUGAAUUUACACGAUUGACAGACUAUGCUUUAUGGAAAACUAUGGGUAUCACAGUGAUAAAGCAAAGAGACAUAAGGGUGGGUGAUAUCAUAAAAGGGAUAUCCAAAUUCAGAAAGUCAGCACCAUGUUGGGUCUACAUUGGAAUGCACUUGCAAUAUAUAUAUGACAUCUUUGGAGGGAGAGGAACCUACGACAUAAGGAGGGGCUCUCUCGCCCGGUUAAGGUCAUCGCAAAUGAUUUCAUACGAGAUUUGACUAUCAUUUAUGACCAUCACCUAUAUAAAAAACCGCACAGGUUAAGUUUGGAAGAUACGGCUAUCAGAAGAUGGGAAAAAGCCUCGCUAUUGGUUACUGACCUACAAAUCGAGAAUUAGCAAGUUAUACCUAUUUCACACAUCCUAUCGUACUUUUAGUUAUUUAUUUAAUUGUUUUAUUAUUGUAGUUUUGUAAUCUCUUUAUUUUAUUUUUAAUUUAAUAGUGACAGACUGACUAUAAUCGAGUUAUGUUUUAAAUUAGAUUCACGUCUUGUUUAUUGAAAUAAACAUAAACAUAAAGGGAAUUUUAUGUUUGUGUCACGCUUUAAAUAAACAAAAAAAAACUGAAGGAACAUAAAUUAAUUAAAAUGAUAAACGAAUUAUAAAAUUUAAUAUCAUAAAAUUAUAAAUAAAUUUAAUAUUUUCAUAUUCGUUCAUCUAGGACUAAAAUGUCAAGUAAAACUCGGCUUGAUGGGCUAGGCUCGAACUCGGACUCGCGAGUCCGAGCCUAAAGCUCCAAACUCGAGCUCGAUUCGUUAAGCUCGAUGGGCAGUAUUACCGUUAAUUUGAGAAUGUACAAUAUGGAUAUGUGCGACCUCAUGUAAUAAAAAAACAGUCAACCUCAUUUAAAAAGUUUUAUAUUUUAAUUUAUUUAUUUAUUGUUUGAUUUUUGAUUGCUUCAUUUGCUUGAUGAGUUUGUGACUUGAGUAGAUUUAUUAUUUCACUUUUUUUAAAAUUAUUAUAUAUUUUGAGGUUAUUUACAUAGUUUAUAAAAAUUAUAUAAAUUUGCGUUGAUUAAGCACCUGACAUAAAAAAAUCACACAUCACUCUCCCCUUUAAACGUUACCUACUAUAGAAUGCUAUUGGUAUUUGUCGUGACAUAUAUGAACAGAAAGAUAUAAAUGAUAAAAACAAUACGUUAGUAGACCUCUUAAUCUAAGGACAUCUUACCAACAGGUUGGUAGACCUACCAACAUAUUUAAGGACAACACGACCUCAUGUUAGUAAACCUACCAACAUGUAAUCUUUAAAGAGGUCAUUAAGGACAUUAGUCUUUUCUUUGAUCUGAAUAGGGUGUCAAAUAAAGUUCGGCUCGAUGGGCUCAGCUCAUGCUCGGCUCGAUGGGCUCAGCUCGUGCUUGGCUCGUGAGCUUCGAGCCCGAGCCUUGGCAAAUCAUUAACGAGUCGAGCACGAACCUGAAUAACUCCUUAACGAGCCGAGUCCGAGCUCGGCCAAACCAGGCUCGACGAGCUCGAGCCUGAGCCCGAGCCUGGAUAACUCCUUAACGAGCCGAGCCAGAGUUCGGCCAAACCAGGCUCGACGAGCUCGAGCCCGAGUCUGGAUAACUUCUUAACGAGCCGAACCCGAGCUUGGCCAAACCAGGCUCGGCGAGCUCGAGCCCAAGCCUGGAUAACUCCUUAACCAGCCGAGCCCGAACCCGGCUCAAUAAGCCAAAGCUCGGCUCGUUUGACACCUUAGAUCCGAAGUGUUACAAAAAAAGUUAUUGUCAGCUUUUGGAAACAUCUAUGAUAAAAAUAUAAAAGAUCAAUCUUUUAAGAUGAUGUAUCGUAUCUAGUUACCUAUUUAUCUUCAAUAAUACUAAUCAAAUAUUCCGACAGUUGAGAGAAGUCGUGAAUCAAAUAUUUGGACCCUACCAAAGUACUAAUCUACAUUUUAUCUUCAAUUCUUCAUCUAUCCAUCGCAUCUUUCAGAAGUCAGUCAGAACUCACAAUUAAUUCCCACCACCCUUCUCUUCCGUGCCCACAAAUUAUAUUAAUAUUUAAUCUUCUCAAACACCAGAUGACAGACCGAACACCACCGUCUUCUUCUUCGUCGUUUCUAAUUUCGAUAGAUAGAUGGGAUUGACUUCUUUUUUCAAGAUCAUCGUCGAUCCGACGAGGUCUUCCUCAUCGUGGGUGCGCUCGCCAUGCACUCGCUCAAGAACUCUAUCUUUCAGGGCGAGAGAUGAGGAUGUUUACAAGACACUCAACUCUAUUUACUUCGACCAAACACCGGAAUGGUCGCCGCAGAAGACGGAGGAGGCAGAAGACGACGACGUAACGUGCUGCGUGGUAUCCGAGAGCUUCUCAUCGGUGUGUAAAGAAGAAGAAGAAAGUGUGAAGCGAGGGUUGAGAUCUGAUAGAAUGUUCUUUGAGCGAAGAGGCGAGACCAGUUCUAUAGUGCUGGUAGAACCAACAACCAGUACUAUCACUACCGUUGCUGCUUCUGCUUCUGCAUCAGUACUACCGUUGAUUAGCUUUGUUGGUGAGGACUACGACGACGACGAGGAAGAGGAAGAGGAGGAGGAGGAGGAGGAGGAUUUGGUUCCGUUCAAGGAGAGUGUCGCCGAGGAAAUGGAGUCUGGGAAUCCAUACAUGGACUUCAGGAUUUCGAUGGAGGAGAUGGUGAUCUCCCAUGGGUUGAAAGAUUGGGAAUGUUUGGAAAAGUUGCUCGAAUGGUAUCUGAGGAUGAAUACAAAGAAAACACAUGGUUUUAUAGUUGAAGCAUUCAUUGACUUGUUGUUGGAUCUUGCGACUUUCAUCUCUUCUUCCACCGGAUCGCCGUCAUCUUCUCCGUCGUCGUGUUUAUGUACCUCUUCUUCUUCCUCCUC
RNAcentral lists this long non-coding RNA (52750 nucleotides) under Zostera marina. RNAcentral describes it as "long non-coding RNA (ZMAR_LNC000904)". The stretch from base 9614 to 9687 matches the Rfam family "tRNA". The record is from RNAcentral. Lineage: Eukaryota; Viridiplantae; Streptophyta; Magnoliopsida; Alismatales; Zosteraceae.